AACACAAAAAGUAUCAACCUGGAUAGCAGGUGUAUCCAGAUCAAAUGUAUAUAUGCCCUGCAGUUUGGAAUAACAAAAUACUUUCAGCAACCAGACUAAUAAUCUGGCUCAGAAGUAUAACUGAGAAAGAUAAAGAUUGCCAUUUUAUGAUGCGUAACAUAUUCCAUACAUAAGGGUAUCACAGUAUAUAUUCAUUGUCUAUGACCCCUGUGGAUUCAUUUGUCAUCUUACUUUUAUGGAUUCGUGCAGCCAGCCACUUCAUUUUUCUUUAUUUUUUAUUUUUUGUAAAUAACUCCAACUGUGCGUAGGGGGAGGGCUUGGCAAACCCCUACUUGAUAAAGAAUAAAUACACCAUGGAGGUGACAUAGAGCCUGACCUCCAAAGUUGGUUUUCAUUUUUAUAUCCUGUGCUAUGAAGUACCUGGGUGCAGUGGCAAUCUUCCUGACCUUGUCCAGCAAAUCCACGUUUAAGUGAGGCUACUUCGAACCAUCUUCCAGCGUAUCUAACUGGGUCGAAGUUCUUAGCUGUCAUACCUCUCAUCAUCAUUCCACUUCCCCCAUUAUUCGCCUCAUCAAAAGGAAGACUUUGCACAUUGUUGGUAGGACUUGCGAGCUGGCAUAUAUUGUUGUGAGAAAGAUUUGUUGCAACAGCCUGCCCAACAGAACUAGAAUUAGUUUAGGAAUAAUUUAUUUAAAUUCAGAUUGAUAUUCUUGUUUUUAUGUUACUGUUGGUCGCUAGGAGGUCUUUCAUAUCUUACUGAAAAAUAUUUAACGAGCCUUCAUUACCAUGCCAACACGUCCUAUAAUGAACUAGUUUCUUAUGGGAAAGCGAGUUCCACCAAAUAAUCUGCUUCAUUCGCAAGCACUUUAAACCCACCCUGUUCUUGAAUGUAGUCUUAACAAGUGGAAUAAUUGUACUUUACACUUUUUCCCUGGCUGGGAUCAAGCUUCACAGUGAAUCUAUGUGCUUGCUCUUGUUUUUUAUAUCAUUGCUCAUGUACUUAAGAGAUUAAGGUUUAACUUAGAAGCUUAUCCAAGACCACAGAGAAAAACAGUUAGGCUCAAAAUUCUACUGUAUGUAGCAAGAUCGUGCACCAAAAGCUACAAAUAUGCAAUAUAUAUAUACAAGAAUGAUCUCUUAAGCACCGGUGCUUAGCUUAUGUUAAGCACCGAUGACAUGGCACAUCAUUUAAUUGAUAAAUCAUUAAAUAUAUAAAAUCUACCAUUAACUUAUUCACUAAUUAAAUAGCAUGCCAUGUCAUCGGUGCUUAGGAAAUCAUUUCCGUAUAUAUAUAUCCGGACAAACUUACACAGCAAUGUUUCGAAAGCAUAAAGCAAAUACUAACAAGUGGCACAACUUUUCACUGAUAUACAGAAGAUAUCAAUUUCCAUACCUUGUUUUUCCUUGUAUAAGAAAGUAAAAGGCGAGCAUAGUAUAUUCAAACGUGUCAUUCUGCAAUUUAAUAAUACUGACCAGAUUUGUCUGGGAGAGAAAGACUGCUGAAGCUGCAAGACCUGAUAUUAUUUGUUUGAUUCCUGACUUAGCCGAUAUAGGGUGCGUAGAACAGCGAUCCGGCAUUGCUUUGGCUGGCAUUCCCCUAAAAGUAAAUGGGAAAGUAUGACACGAGUAGAUUAUACAAGAAGCCCCAUAUAACAGUACGGAAAUGCAAUAAAUUUUGAUCAUACACAAACUUUAUCAUUACCUAAAGACAGUGAAAUUAAAAUUCCGAAAUUUUUGUUUCCCCAAUUAGUAAAACUGAUUAAAGCAGGCAUGUAUCUGUGUGCUGGAGUCAAAAACAUUUACAUAAAAUCUGUACCCCUAUUGCAUGAAGCCACUAAAUUUAAAGGUGAAAAGGGGAAACUUAAAUGAAAGAUGAUAAGGGAGAUACCUAGGAAAUAUAACAAAUAUUCGCAUGGUAUGGCAUAACAGUACAUCAAGAUUUUCACAGUAAAUUUCAGCAAAUGUUGCAUCCGAACUCAAUCAACAUCUCCAAUUCUAUAUUUUUUUAAAAAUUAAAUCAAUCAUCAAUCUACUAAAAAAUAUGAAAAAUAGACAUGGCUUCACCUGGAGAAGGGAGGAUAAUGUGAUUGAAGAAGGAUAAGCGGUGAUUGCGCAACCACAAAAUAACUAUGACACACCAUUCUCUCCCCUUAAGAGUCUUGACCCACAGUUGCAAUUCAAAAUUUAUGGAGAAAAAAGAAGUGUAAUAAACUCGAAUUCAGUAGAAAUACAGACGGGCGAGUGACGAGGGUCAACUGUGAUCCUCUUACAAUUUGACCCCACAGCGACGUCGUAGGAUUUAGGAUAUUAAUGAGCAGGGCUAUUUCUAUCCACAUUUUUUUUUAUAUUAUUUUUUCGAGUGUUUUAUUAAAUAUUGAUGUUAAUUUAAGCAUUAUUUAUUUUAAAUUUUUAAAUUUUGAACUUGUAUUUUAUAAUUUAAUAGUAUAACUCGAAAUUUUGAAAAUAUGUAAAAAUAAUAAUAAUAAUAACAUUAAUAAAUAAUUAAAUUGGGCAGUAAACAGGACAAAAAAUUGCCCCGACCCCACCCCGUUUAAGGUGGGACGGGGCAGGAGUGCCCAACCCCGAACCCGUCCCGUUGCCAUCACUAUAUCCACAUGAAUUUUAUAUAUCCAUCUCAUUUUAAAUACAUCCCUAACACUAGAAAUUCACACAAUCCCUAAAAUCAUAUACUCUUUUAAACCAAAUGAAUGAAAUAACAACAAAGUUGAACUUAUUUAACAUUCAAUUAACAUAUAUUUUUCAGCUAACCAUGCUAACAAUGUUAAUUAGAAAUUUUAUCAUUCUUAUUUAUAAAACUCAAUUCGUCAAAGGCAAACCAUCAUAUAUCAACAUCAACAUCCAUCCAUCACCUAUAAUCAUACUCAUGUAAUUUUCUUAAUCUAUUAGGAUUUUAGUUAAACACAAAUUCUAAAAGAAUAAAAAAAAGAUUUAGGAUAAUUUAAUGAAAAUAAAAAUUAGUGGAUCAAUUUAGACUUAUGUGUUUUUAAUUAAUUUUGUUUAUAGUAAAUUUACGUAGGACUUAAAAUAUAAUAAAAAAUUAUUUUUAAAAGUGGAUUUAUAUAUAAGAAGUGUGGAUGGAAAUAGUGGUACCCGUGAGUAAUAUAUUAACCUUUCAAAUUAAAACCUUUUAAUUUUCAAUUUUAACAUAAAAUUAAAACACUAUAAUACAUGUUGUAACUUAUAUUUUAAUGGUGUGAUCAUGGGGACUAAAUUUAUUCCUAUCAAAGGGAGUGAUUUUCAUUGAAAUAGAUAACAUGAGAAACCAUAACAUGCAAAAUUAAUCACAACUAUAUUUCAUAAUAUUUUUCUAUAUUUUGACAAUUUGAUAAAGUUUCACUGUUUAUCUUCUUAUGGUCGUACUCAUAGAAAGAGAAUCGGCUGUGAGUCACAUAAGUUUUAUUUUGGAGCCAUGAAAUGUCAAAAGUACCAACGUGAAGGAAAGACAAUACGACUUUAAAACAGUUUCUCGACAUGACUUCCUAAAACUUACAUUUCUAACUCCUCUUCUUAUAUUUAUAUUAUUAUUGAAUUGUACUUGUUAUUUAUUAUGUUAAUCUAACAUUUAUCUCCACAUAAAUCACCCAUUUUUUUCCAACAUUCUAAAAUCGUGUUUGAGUGAUUUGUAUGAUAGACAAUACAAUUUUAGCUGCAUCAUUCUUCCUUCUAUUAUCUGGAGCAGCAGAGCUAGCGGAUAACUUCGUUCUAUUUUUACGCAUUUUGUGCAAGCUUCAUCAUUCAUCGAUUGAAUAUAUUCUGUUGUCUGUUGAGUAGGUAAAACAGACAGGAGGAUACUUCUUAAUCAUAAAGUCAAGCAAGGGCUUUUAAUGUGAAUAAAUCAACAAGAUUGUUUUUCCUAUGAGAAUUGACAUUCAAGAUUUAAGCAUGAAAUUAGAAGUCUUUUUUUACUGCAAGUAUUACCUAAAAUAUCAUGCUUGGCUUCAAUAAUUUGUGGCUUCAGCAUAUGUCUUGAUGUUUGACAUACUUUUGAUUCAAGCGUGAAAUUAAAUAUCUUAUUAUCAGUGCAAGAAAGAACCAUUGAAAAAUAAAUAAAUAAAUAAGAUUAAUCUUGCUUUAAUAGGGAAAUAAUUAUAUAUGAAAUCUUUUGUGAAAAAUAAAUAUGUUUAGAAAGCAAAGACUUGUUAUAUGACUAAUCAUGUUAUAUGUGUUCAAUUAUCAACGUGUCAAGCUUUCAGCAUAACCAUAAUUGAAAUGAAAAUUCUAGUUACAAGAAUUUCUAUUUUAAUGUUAAAAAAAAGGAAUUUCUAAUUGCUAGCUAUGGAUCCUUGUUUACUGUAUUAUUUUAGUCAAGCUAAUCUGGAAAAGUAGAGGUGCAUAACUUGAGUAAUUGUUCUGUUAAACCAUCAAUACUAAAAGAAACUGCAGAAAAUAUUCAAAAUGAAAAAUACAAAAAAUUUUAACAGUGUAGUGCUUUACUCCAACCUAUUUCGUGUUAAAAUUUUUGUACAAUAUCUUAGUGUGAAAAUUUAACGUGUUACUUUCAAAUUACUACACCUAAAUUAAAAUUGUGUUAUCUGUAAAUACUUCAUCACUGAGUUAUUACUAUAAAACAAACAUGUUGCCUGCUUACAUGCCUUUGUCAUGUUAAUAUCCCAAUUAGUCAUUCACCUUUGUGCUAGUUUGUGUAACACUGAUUUGAUGUGAAAAAGGAGAAUGAGGACAUUGAAAUCUUUUAAGUUAUUGGCCAUAAUUUCGAGAAAUUGAAUGGCUCCUAGUAGGCUUAAAACUAUUUGCUGUUAUGCAGGCAAAAAAUUCAUAAAUUACAUGUAUUAGAAAAAUUGAAUAUCUAUGUGUCUUUUAUCCAUGAUUAUUCAUAAGUAUCAUGGUAUAUUAUAACCAAAAUUAUUAUUUUGUCAUGCACGUGAAUUGAUACGAUUAUACUAACUACAUGGAAAUUCUAUGAUAUUAUUUUGAGCAAGCAGUUAAAAGAUUUAACCCUCAAUAAUGUAUUUAAUUAAUAUUUUAAAAAAUGUAAAGUGUAACUCCAGUUAGUGAUAGAAAUCUAUUGUUAUUCAAUUUAGAUAUGUAACUCAUAUUUUGAUGUUUGAAUAACAUAUAAUAAUACUACCAUAUAGUGUGAUAAAUUUGAUUUAAGUUUUGAAAGAUUUAAAUUUUAAUAAUUAAAAUAAUUAAUUUGGUAUUUAAUUAUUUUAAAUUUUAUAUGAGCCCUCAUAAUUUUAAGUUAUUAAAGUGAAUGCCGAGAACCAUGAAUUUGGGAUAUAUUCUAUAUCUGCUAGAAUUUAAUGUGAUUGUGUUUAAUCGAAAUAAUAUUUCUUUUACCGGUACAUUUGAUGUACUAUAUUUGAAAAUAAGUUUUAGGUCUAAUUAAAUUUGGACACAGUGUUUAGCUAAUUUGGAGUAUAAAAUUGCAAAUAUUUCAUAUCUAAGGCUGAUUUUAUUAUUAUGAAAGCAUGUUUACUUAGAUCAAUGUUGUUAAACCAUAUUUGAUACUUUAUAGUUAUGUUAAUUCUUAUUGGUUAAUGUUUUGUGAUACAUGAGUGUCAAUAUGUUCGUUCAUAUUGUCCAAGUUUGAGGAUUAAUGGUAUAUAUUUAUAUUUGGACUAAUCACGAAGCUCAUAAAGUCUUGUCAAAUAGAUUAAAUGACAAUCCAUUUAAUUAAAUCAUAUUGAUUACGCGGCACAUUAAUUUUGACCAGUAAUCAUAUACAUAGAAUUUUCAUGUCAUGUAAUAGAUGACAUCCUUUCCUACUUUAUAGUAAGUGACAUCCUGCCUAUAAGUACGAGGAAGGUAAGAAAAAAAUGCAAUUAUGAAAUGUGGUAAAAAUGUUCCACAAGUUUAAUACCUUUGAAAUGUGGGGGUGUUCAAAAUUUCAGGUAGAUACAUCUAAAAUUUUUAUUAUCCUUACUUGUAAAAUUAAUUUUUGAAAAUUGUCGUCGGACUGCAUGCGAAAUACAAGAGUUUAAUAGAUGCAUCAGCCCAAAUGUGUUCCUAAAAGUCAAAAUUAGACCGUUCAUGUAUUUAUCUUAUGUGAUAUUAAUAAUUUGAAAAUUUCUUAAAUAACUUUGCAGAUGUACAGGCGGAGAAUAAAAGCUUGCAAAUAUUGAUGGUACCAAAUUAUUUGUCCAAAAGGGACAUGAAAUAAAGUAUAGUCCAUGAUAGAUUUACAUAAAUCAUUGACGGAGAUGAGUUAAGCCCAUAAGGGAGUCAACCCGACAGUAAUCCAAUCUUGGUGAUUGGAAAUUCUAUGAAAAAUGUUCAAUGUGGUAGAAGCGAUCCAUACUGUGUGAAUUGUAGUAGAACUAUAUUAUUUGUGCUCAUUCCUAUGGUGAUAGUGCUAAUAACAAAUGUGAUAUUAGGAAAGGUUUAACUCCUAAUAAGUAUGAUUUCUACUCAUUGCGAGGUCACACGCACCUUUAGAGAACUCACUUAUAUAAGAGUUGCCAUAAGGUUGUGACUAUGGGAUUGAACUAUUCUUUAAAGACUCUUAUUAUAAUCAUGAUUAGAGCGCUACCCGAUAUGAAUUAGAGCCUAAAUCGAUACCAUGUGUAGAACAAUUGAAAUUUGACUAAAGGGACCUAAUUCAAAGUUUAGUCCAUUAUGACUCCAUCAAAUGGAAAUUGUUAUCAUUAAGUGAGGUUCAAGCCCAAAUGGCACCCACACAUAUUACACAGUAUAACGUUGCCACUAUAUAUUACAUAUAUUUAUUUAUUUAUUUUGAAAAUUUAAAACUUGUGGGGGAUUGUUGUAACUUAAGAAUUAAAGUUUUAAUCUUUCAAAUUAAAAUAAUUUAAUUUUCAAUUUUAACAUAAAAUUAAAACACCAUAAUACAUGUUGUAACUUGUAUUUUAAUGGUAUGGUUGUGGAUGUUAAAUUUACCUACAUAAAAGGGAGUGAUUUUCAUUGAGAUAGAUAACAUGAGAAACCGUAACUUAAAAAAAUAACCACAUCUUUAUUUCAUAAUAUUUUCUUAUAUUUUGGCAAUCCGAUAAAAGCUUGUUCUUUAUCUCUCUAUGAUCGUGCCCAUAUAUAGAGAACUGACUGUAAGUCAUGUGUGUUUUAUCUUGAAACCGCGUAGUACAGAAAGUACUCGCACGAAGGGGAAGCAACACGACUUUAGAACAGCCUCAUUGACGUGACUCCCUAAAACUUGCAUUUCUAACUCUUCUAUUAUGUUUAUAUUACUAUCGAAUUGUAUUUGUUGUUUAUUAUGUUAAUCAAAAAAUUAUCUACACAUAAAUUACCCAUUUUUUCCAACAACUAUCACAUCUAAUAAGUCUCAUGGGGCCCCAUUCCAAUAAUUAAACAAAAAAUUUAAAUCAAUCAUGCUACAAUGCUAGAUAAGUUGAUAGAAAGGCUGGCAUAUUAUCAACUGACAUUUCAUCAUUGAACAGUGUAAAACAUUGUCAAUUUUUUCAUACAAUCGUCUAUGUGGAGGGUUUCCCCUACCAAUACUUUUGACAAAAGUAAUGCUAUUUGUAAUCAUUUAUUAUCGCAGUCGUCCUAUAUGACAUAUACAAAACAGUUAGUUAUUAAAUGUAUUAAUGUGAUAGUUAUUAACUCAUACAUCAAAUAACUAUCCGCCAUGUGUAUACUACGAAGGGUUAUUGUCGUAAUGAGUGAUUGCAAAUAACCUUUUUUUUUCUACAAAUAGUUUUGACAAAAAAACAUAACCUUUAAUUUAAGUUAAUCUAACAUUAUAGAUAAUUUAAUUAAAAUCCUUUGAAAUUCAAAAAUGGAAAACUCCACACAAAAUCUAACGUUAUAGAUAAUUUAAUUAAAAUCCUUUGAAAUUCAAAAAUGGAAAACUCCACACAACACACCCCCACUCCCCAUAAUCUUUGUUUCCUUUGUCCUCUCCCUACCCCUCUCUCACUCUCUCUCGAAUUGAUACAAGAAGAAUAUAUAGAUACAAGAAACGGGUCUUGAAAUGGCAAUCCAUUUACAUUCCACUAUUGCAUUAAAACUCACUCGAAACCCAUAUUACCCUUUGUUUAUUAUAUUCAACAAUCUUUCAUUCCAGAUUUGGAACAUAAAUGAUAUAGCCAACACAAAUUUUUAGGGUAAAUUAGAGCAUCACAUCAAUACCUGCGGUUGAUUGAAAUUCUGGGAUAAAUUAGAGUUAUAGAUAUGAAUUCAUAUAUUCCGGUUAAAAAUUCUUUAAUUAAUUUAGAUUUGACGUUGCAUGAAUUCAAUCCUGGAGGCUGGAAGUUUCAAGCACGAAGAUCGAAGCAAAUGGUCUACUGGAGAAAUAGCUAUCUUGAAAUACUCUCAACUUCAAAAUGUGGAAUAAUCCAUAAAAAUUAGGACUAAAAUACUCAUAAAUUUAUUAAAAGAAAAUUUUAAUUCAUGAAACAUAAUCUUAGUCAAUAUCAAAGUAUUCUUUAUUUAAAACCCUCCAACCUCUUCCUCACCAUCCUUGUAAAAUUCCCCACAAAACGAUGAAGUUAAAGAUUGAGUGUCCCAGGACGUGUAGUAAUUUGUAUUCGACUAGUAUCGUGGGCGGAGCUACUAUAUAGAUGCCCGCACUGGACUUUUGGGCCCAAAAUAAUUUAAUUUUUUUUUAACCCAAUGACUUUUGGGCCCAAAAUAAUUUUUUUUUAACCCAAUUCUCUAUUUAGCCCAGAGAGAGAAGCCCAAUUGUGCAAUGCCAUGACCCGUUUUAGAUCCAUUCAUAUCAGAAUUCAAUUGAAUCAAUUGUUGACCCAAACCCAUUCAUUCAUUUCAAAAUUUCAACCCUUCGUGACUUUGUCUGUGAUGACUUCGCACUUCGCCACCCACUUCCCUCUCCACCCGUGACAAUGCCCGUUAUUCCCUUCCCUCUCUGUAAAUCGUCGUCUCCGACAGUCGUUUGACAGUCCAUUAUUGUACAUCUCCUACUCUAGGCUCUCAUCUUGACAUCUCACAUCUCUGACUCCGACUCUACAUACUCAACUCCGCCAAGGCGCCAAGUGCCAAUGCCAACCGGGCGAGCCAGCAAAAGAAGAAGCUAGAUUCCAGAAAGCAGAAGGUGAAGCCCCAAAUUUUUUUCCCGUAUUUUUUUUGUUAUUUUUAUUUGUGUAAAUUGUAAUAAUAUUUUUUUUUCUUUUUGUUUUUAGUAUACGAAAUUAGCACUUUGUUCUUCAAUUGCUCGAAGCAGCACAAACUUCCAGUGGAUCACCAGUUCAUUGUUGCCUCUGGGCUCUAGCUCUCUGGGAAUCUGUGAUUGUAAGUUCAAGUUGCCUAGAAUUUGGAAAUAGUAAAUAUUGCAUUGUGAAUUGAUUAUGUGAAAUUGUGAAUUGGAGUAUUGAACCGUGAAUUGAUUAAGUGAAAUUGUAAAUUGCACUAGACAAAUGGUAUAUAUAGGUGUUGGCGUAUUACACUGUGAAUUGAUUAUGUGAAAUUUGUGAAAUGCACUGUGAAUUGAUUAUGUGAAAUUGUGAAUUGCACUGAAUUUUGUGAGUUGCUUCCAGUAUUUGUGAUUCAUUUGACAUUCUAAAUUACUCCCACUCCUAGUAAUAAUUGGGUGAUCAGUGGAUGAAUGAUAGCACAAUUGUUUAUGUGAAGAAAGAUAUAUUUUUGAAACUCGAUAAUGAAGUUAUUGUACAACGAUAUCGAAGUAUGAAAACUCGCAAGGAACAAGUGUAAUAUAUAAAUUAUGUCGUUUUUAGUAUUGUUGUAUUAUUGUUUUAUUUUUUUAUUAUCAUUAAAUCUAUGGUCAAAACCUCGACAUUCGUCGUCGAAAAAUUUUUGUCCGCACUGAACUAAAAUCCUGGCUCCGCCCCUGACUAGUAUUGUACGCCAAUACGGGCCAAGAAAUCGAAGCAGCUGCUUACAGAUUCAAACUUUAUGGAUAGAAAAAUAGUUAUGGGAUAGUAUGUUGAGAUUGAAUAAUGGAACAAGAGUAUAAGCAAAAGGGUCAUAUUGGAAGUGGAAGUGUGUUGUGGGGUUUUCCAUUUGUACAUUUCAAUUUUAAUUAAAUCAUCUAUAGCCUUAAAUUAAAUUAAGGGUCAAGAAUUUUUUGUCAAAAAUAUUGGUAGGAAAAACACUCCCCAUCAUCUAUUAUCACACACACUUCCAUCACUGUAUCUAUCAAAAUCCUUACAAAGUGGCAUAAUCCUAUUUCAAAUACGAAAGUUGGGGUAUUUAAAUGUCCGCAAGUGAGAUUAUAAUUUGGAUAAUUUUGAUUAAUAUCCAUUUUAAUCGAUAUAUUGUUUCAACUCUACUUUUAUAAAACAAUAUAUAAUUAGAAAUUACUCAAGUAUACAUAUUUAAAUAUCAUUUCAAUAUUUCCGCAUGCUAAUGUUGGAAUUAAAGAGUACAUCUUUACAAAGCAAAUGAUAAAAAGAAAAACAAAAUUCUUGGGUGAAUACUAGAAGAGACUUUUAUUCUGAUUUCCAGCAGCAAGUAGAUUGAAAAAUGAAUCUUCCUCAUCUGUGUCAUUCUUCUUUAUUCUUUUUAUAUGGGAACCCGAUUGGUCAGACGUUGAUGGUACUGGCUGUUUGAUGGAUACAAACGCCACCUUCUUCGAUGAACUUUUAAAUUUUACAGGACAUGAACUCGGAGAUGCAGUCGAACAUGUGGAUAAUGCAGCUUCUGAACAAUAAAAUUUGUCAUGGGAAUCACUUUCAACCUGCAUUUCAUGGUUAAUCUUGCCAACUUUCACCAGUGAUAAAAUAUUACUGUCUAUUUCAACAGAUGUAGAGGGUUCUUCCGAAGGAACCGUAUUCACACUUGACGGGGCUAGAGUACCGGAGGCAACUUUGCCCUGCUUUUCGUCACCUUUUACAGAACUAGUAUUCAUUUCUUGAGCAUUAGUCGGGCCUUCUUCCAAAAUAUGCGCAGCAUCCAUUCUAACUGGAUUAUCAAGUAUGCAAGGCAAGGCAAGGCAAGGAAUAAACAUAUUUAGCAAGAGUAUUCAAACAAGUGCAGACAGAUGAAUAAUGAGAAAGUUCAUCAACUACACAAAAAUAGAAUGAAGGUGGAAUAAAGUUAUAGCAUGAAAAAUUCCUAUAUUUAGCAGUAAAACCAAGGAAUGAAAAAACUGAAGAAAGCCACACACUGAUUGGAAGAUGAGAGAGGCAAUAUAAAGUCCAUUAGCUGUGUCCCAGAAGACAAAAUACAGUAAAUGAACAGUAGAAUAAUGGACAGCAAACUUUAACUGUAAACAGAUAUUAUAAGGAGCAAAUACAUGUCAACAGCUCAGAACUUCAGCAAAACUAUUUCUGGAAAUUUUCUACCAUAAAUAUCUUUCUAAUUACUGUACACUUGACUAGCGGGACUGGAAGGACAUGUAUCAGAAGCCAAGUCUACCUUCUUGCACUUUCAGGAUACUAUUUGACAAAGAUAUAAUUACUUCAGGAAGAUGUUAAAGGAAUUAUAAUGGAAGAGUUACAAGGAUGAUAAGAAUGGAAAUGGUGCUCCACCCAGAAUGGUACAAUAGCCAAGCAAGAGUUACACUACAAAAAAUGAUAAGAACUAAAAACUCCAGAGCAUCCUGGAUUUCCAUAGCCGAUCACGUGCUCAAAGCUUGGAUAUGGUAGUCAUUACAUACCAGCACUAAAUUUUGAUUUAUUCCUCGAGUUUUUAAAACAUUUAGCACGAGCUCAGUACUAAUACUUUACUAAUAAGUAUCUACACAAUUUAGCAUUUUCCCCUUUCUUAAUACUAUUGUGUAUUGUCUAGUCCACCUCAUGAAACAUAGCAGUAGAUGCUGAAAAAAAUUCUAUCAAACGACAAAAAUUUAUUUAAGUCCACUGUUACCUCCAAGUAAAACCUCAAUGUUUUUAUAUAUUAUUUUGGAGGACCUUAAAAAGACAUCUUCUCCGACAUCCUUUUCCUGGCUUUUACUUUCACUUGUAUUCAUCCUCUCAACUAAGACAUACUUGUCUGUCUGCCAAACACAUUCUAGAAACGUAGUAGCUUGCUUUUUGGUUGGAUAAUAUUCUCUGAAAACCUGCAAAUUAAGGGGAUAGAAAAGAGGAAUUUUAUGCCAUGAACUGCAGAACAGGGUGGAAAAAUGAUAAAUGCAGAAAAGAAAAAAGCAUAAAAAAAUAAAUAAAUUGUGCAGACAAAUGAAGAAUAAUUUAUUUGAGUACUUAAAAUACCUCGAAUCCUUUUUGAUUUAGUUUUAUAGUUUGUUCCUUUUGAGAAAUAGAAGAGACAGUAUUGAAUACAUAAACAGCAUCCAGAAGAACCUGCCAAAAUAUAUAUAUAUAUAUAAAUUAACUGAAAAGACAACACCACUAACUUGAAAAUUUUAUUAAAACUUUCAAGGUCCGAAUACUUCUUACGUAAUAACCAAGAACUCGGGGUUCAAAAGAAAUCCAGAAUCCCACAAUGCUAGUGCCCUUUCUUUUCAAACACCAGAUACCUUAAGCCUUGCACCUCUGCCCCCAAAUAAAAGAGGAAAAAGAAUGUAUACGUAGCAUAUGACUAUAAUGCAGGUUCUGUGCGUACAAUGCAUACGUGGCCUAUGAUUAUCACAUACCCACGCAUAUCUUAUUGCACAAUAUUGCCUAUUUCAGCCAAUAAAUCCAAAUAUCGUCAUACAAACUCAUAAUUCCGAGGGUCCUUUUUAGACAAUACGCAAAUUUUCCAAUUAAAAUAGUAAGAUAUAGUCUUAUAAAAUGAGAAAUACUUACUUGUUGAACCAAUGCUCGAAGGCGUGCAAGCACAGCAAAGAUCGUUACGGAAAAUCCCAUGAAAAAUGAUCGAGCAAGCAGCUUGGAUAUCUCCCUUAAGAUCGUUAAGAGAAAAAGUGGAUGAUGAAUAGCUGAAUUCAACUUCCCACAGGCACAUAAAGAAACAUCUAGAGUAAUAACUACAUCAAACAACAUGUUUUCUGGAUAUGCUUUCUUUGAGACAAAAAGCAUAAACAAAAAUCAAAGAAAUCAAGCAAAUAAGCAGAAAUUUUAUAAUACAACUUUUAUCACAAAUGAUUGAACUAGAGAAGUUAAUACAAAAAAGUUCACAUACUGGCCAAUAGAAACAAGAGGACAGAGAAACUUGACAAAUGGACAGAGGUCUAGGUAGGAAAACCCUCGCAGUUCAUUAAACGGGGGAAGAGAAUAAAAUAUUGUGUAAAGACUAGCGGACCUAGAGUGUAGUAUAAAAAAAAAUAUGACAGAUUCUAUGGAUCAGAAAUGUAUGGUUGGCAAAAGUUUUAGAGAAAAUAUAUAACGAAAAAGUUGGUUAGCCAAUAAACACGCAUAGAAAUUACAACACAAAGCAUUCUGUCAAAUGAUGGAGUUUCGUGUUGUAGCAAACAUUAAAGAAAUGCUCUAGCUGACAAUGUGCGAAACGUUAUAUCUAAUUUCAAGGAUGUAAGUAGCUUAGUUUCUGAUAAUUCCAGAGACAUAUACCAUUAUAACAAAUCAUGUAAAACCUAUAAAAUAUUCUGACAAUGAUUCUUGCAUGUUGACAGAAAACUUCAAACAUUAUGAACAUAGUUAAAACUUGCACUGAAAGGAUACAUAGCAGCCUCCACCACGGGCUCCACCAUCUGUGAUGGAACAAGAAAAAAUAUUAGAAGAUAAUUCAUACAUUGGCUUAAUCAUGUGAUGGAAAAACCAUAAAUUAAAUAAAAGAGACAAUCAACCUGCGACAAUAGGCGUGCAACUCCUAAAAGCCGAUCCAGAACAUUAUACUUGCCACUAUCGCACCUUGUCCUCUUCAAACUAAAGCCACAACAUAAAUAAUAAAAUAAAUAAGACGAACUAUCCUUUGGUAUUAUACUUUGCUAAUGCUGCGCAAAUUAUAGUUCAUAUUUAAUCACAUAAAACCCGAAACUGAAAGAAAAUAUUUUUAGUUUAUUAAAAUAUUUUUAGUUUAUUACAACUUUAGUAUGGAUCUUCUGUAAAUUAACAAAGUAUAAGGAAGUAAGAACAACACCUCAUGCCAUACUUGCCCAUAUAUAUAAGUAGAAAACAUAGAUUGCAAGAAACGUGCAAUGAGGAAUGGUGGGGUACACAAGAAAAGUAAUCAACCUGUCCUACAAUCAUGUCUUCACUGGAGCGCAAUUUAAUAAUUUAUACUUCUCUGGACAGCCAAACAAAACUAGGAUUUCAAACUAUUGAUAUGUGCAACGUGUGAGCAUAAAAAUACAUGACAAAGUUAUAUCUGACAUAAUCCAAGCAUAUUCCAAAUGACACAGGCUAUUACUCAGAUUUUGUUCCAUCAGUGAAUUCCACAAUCCACAGCUGCUGCUCUCAGUAGAGUGCUCCGCAGCCACGGUUAAGUGUAAGACUAUAAUAUACAAAAUUCCAAUGAGAAGGCAAAAAUACAUAAAGUACUACCUUUCCAAAAGCUGCACCUUUUGCUUAGGUCUAUUCCCAAUUAUUAUGAGAAAACAGGCACUCAAAAUCUCCUCCAUAUUUGCUGAUUUCAAAAGUCUCAAAUCCAUGCUAACCUAUCCAUUCAAAAAUAACAAAAGGCGCGUCAAUCGGCAAUCACACAAAACUUAAACACGCAACAUGAACACAAAUACUUAUUAGGCAUGAGAAGUAAGACACUGGCAACCUUUAGAAGAUAUUGAAAGUAAGAACAUCUUCGAUGCUGGUUCUUGUUUUUGUAUAUAAUUCUUCCAAGAAUCCCACAUUCUGUUUGGAGCUGAACAAUAUACGAUUUAACUCUCUGCUCAGUUAUUUCAAUCUCUGAACCCAUUUGUAUUCAACUGAAAUAGAAAAUCUCAUAUUCAAAACCACAAACGGUGAAAGCAAAAAAUCAACUAAAAUAUCCACAAACCCAUUAAAAUUAUCAUCAAUUCUUGUCAAAUUCAAUUGGGUUUUCAGUGGCGGACCUAGAACAAUAAGUCAGGGGCUGAAAUUUUUAUAAGUUAAUGUAUGAGCAAAAUAUAUACAUCAUGGAAAAGUCAAAAUAUAACAUAAUCCACUAAGGUUGCGGCCAAAAUGGGCCAAAUAGGAUGAAAAAUGAAGGGCAGAAGGUUGGAUGGAGACUUGAAGUUUGCACUUUGCAGUUUUUUGGGAAAUCAGCAAAUUCCAAAUACGAUAAAAAGAAAAUGCCUUAAAACUUUGCUUGAAUAAUCAGGCUACGUACAUUAAGGCUAGUUAAAAGGAAAAGAUUGACAUGGAACCUAAAUAAGUAAAGUGAACAACGAGGGAAAUGCCAAUACACAAAUUCUCAACCACCAUCAGGCAUCCAAAAUUGUAAAUCUUAUUCCCGUCACAAUUCCAAAGUCAUUAACCAAUCCUCCUUAAACUUCAAACAAAAAAUAGUUUAUGGUUGAUCAAAUUCAACCUCUUAGUUAAUCCUCCUGUUCUCUCCUUAACAUCACAAAUUCAUCAAAACUCAAGAGUACAAUCAUGAGAAAAUGUAUCUUUGGUAUCUUCGACAUUUUCGAAAGAACCACUUGUACAUUCUUUUGCUAAAUUUCAUGAAGAUAUGCAUAAAGUCAGGCAAAGAAACCUUACAACUAAAUAUAAGUUUUAACUCUAUAGCUUGGAGAAGAAUAGCACAGGGUCACCACUAUACAAGUUUUGCUAUUCUAUACAACAGCACCAAAACCAGUCAAUGAAGACAAGGUCCCAGACACCCAUAUUCUUUUGCUACAUCAGAAUCAAAGCAAUAUAAAAGACGCGAAAUUCAUGAAAUUUCUGGUUCAAAAAUUAAUCGGCAACGGAGGACUAACUAUGAGAUAUAAAUCAAGUUUAAAAAUAAAAGCACUUUAAUCACCAAAUUAUAGUAAUGGUGAAAGAAAACAUUAUAAACAUGCUACUCUUAACACUUCAGAUAGACAUAAAGCACACAGUUUAGUCUUUCAGGUAGUUCCACGCCAGAACAGAUAAUGGAAAUAAAUAAAAUACCUACCAAAUCAAAUCAACAAUAAAGUAAAGUAUAAUCCAUCAGAUUACAGCUACUCUUUCUCUUUCACGCGCGGACAUGAACACACACUGAAAGACACUGAUUUGCGUCUUUUGCAGUCUAUAUAUGUUACCUGUUUGAUAUUCUUUGAAUAAAAAGCAACAAAUUAUAUUAUGAAUCUUUAGUUCCCGCGCUUAUUAAAAAUUUGUACUUGAAACACCUUGAAUCAAAUCACCCCUAUUUCUUGAUUUCUUUCUUUUCUACCGUUUAUGGUUAGUAGUCGGGUUCUUUUGUUUAGUUUCAGCAAAAAGGGAAAAAUUAGGGCAAAUUUGAAGAUGAAAAACAGAAACUAAGAAUUUCAUGAUUAUAUCUGGCAUUUGUCAUUCAUAGUUUCAUACCCUACAAAUUAUUUUCAAUUAGCCGAGAAAGAAGGGGAUCCAAAGUAUUCCAUGGGCUUGUAUUGAUUACUGAACAGUAAAAAGAGCUCCGUCCCUUGUAGAGGGUUUGAGCACUCACUAGAAAAAGAAUUUUCAGCCAGCGCCGUCAGUUUGCAAUUAUGAGCGGCGCCGGCAAAGUUUUUGACAGGAUACAAGUACAACUGUGAAUUUUCGGCCAUCGCCGUCAGUUUGCAAUUAUGAGCACCCACAAAUGCUUGUUGUACCAAGUGGGGCUGCAAAGUUCCUUUACAAAGUGACGUGUACGGCUCAAAUGGAAGGAAAUGGACGGUUCGGAUUUUAUGUUGACAAUAAUGGAAAGUGGCGCCAAAUUGGUUUUCUUGCAACUUGGUAUUAAAAAAAACACAAUUUUUAAAAUGGUGGUAAUUUCUCUCUCUCUCCCCAUCGUGCUCUGUCUCCCCAGCUCUCGCUAAUCAACUCACAAGAUUUUAACAAAAUUAGAGAGUGGAGGGUUGCGAGUGUAGAAAACAACAAAUCAAAAAUAAAUUAAUCGAAGGACCAAGUGAAGAAUGGAGAGGAAGAAGGAAUCGAUCGAUAGCAGCCAACAAACUUAGGGCAAACAUAUACAAGAUACAAAGGUUUAUAUAGUACAAAACUAAGGAAAUGUAAAAGUAUAAACUACCCUUAACCCAAUCUACUUAUUACAUUAACAGCGAGUUGGAGCGAAAUUAGGGGUUUCGACAUUGCAGGAAGGUGUAGCUGAGCUUAGCUUGAAAUCGGUCUGAGAAUCCAGAAGGAAGGUGGUGGCCAAGUGACGAAUUGGGUAUGAAUUUAUGGAUUAUGACCGAAUCCGUCUGUGAUGAAGUGAUAAUGCAAUGUUUUCCAUUGUGUACUAGAAACUCAGUUCGUCCAUUUGAGUUUUCCAACCAAAAGGGGAAAGAGGACAAGAAUAAAAUUGAGGAGAAAGGAAAAUACUUUAGACUCCUCAUCCCUAAAAACUUGAAAAAAUGCUAAAAGUUUUUCCCUCGAUCAGUCGGUCAUAAGUCAGCUACUACUUGCUCCUUCCUUCAAAAAUUCUGCUUUUUCUUAUUUUUUUCCAAAUGAUUCAAAAAAUAGCUGAAACAUUUACCCUUAUGUGCACUUGUAUUUCCACUUUGAACUUAUAUACUGAUUCCAUUUAACUGAGUGAAUUUCCUGUUUUCAUGAUUUCCACUUAGGAGAGUAAUGUUAGCUGGGUAUCUGCAGCAAAAAAUAAAAUAAAAUAAAAUAUACAUUAGCCAAAGGAAAAAAUAUCGAUUCAUUUAGGAAAAAACAAUAGUGUAGUUGUUAAUAUUCAAGAAUUCAUUGCAUUGAUUCGUUGAAGGAAUUAUUUACCGGAAACUUUCGUGGUUUUGCAUUAUAAAUUUGUUGCCACAUGGGAUUCUCAGUGUUAGAUACGAAAAAUGUUGUAAUGAUGUGCUGGGAAUAGCCAGUACUUAGAUGACAUUCCAAUAUUGUUGACCUGUUAUUUAUGUACUUAAAUAAACCACUCAAAGUUGGGCUUUUUGAACACGUAAAUAUUGGUUGAGUGUCAAUGUUUUGCAGGGUCAGCCAAAUAUGGAAGAAGUUUUGUCCGUUGAUUCCGAAAAUGAGAAUGUGGAGGACAAUAUGAAUGUCCUGGAAGAUGAGAUGGUAGUAGGAGAUGGUUUGACUGUCCUUGAGGUUGGUGCUGCAAUGCGAUAACAGUAGUGCUGGAAUGCGAUAUCAGGACUAUUGGUACAAUUAGGAACUAUGCUGGAAUUGCAAAAUUUUUGGUUGUAGUUGUUAGUUGGACUAUGUGAGAUAUGUGAAUAUCAUUAAAUCUUGUUUUGUUUAAUUGAUGAAGAGCAAAUGGUUCCAAAUGUGGUAGCUUAGUUCGAAAUAUGUGGUGCAUUGCAAUUGUAGUCUCUCUCCUGUUGUGGUGCUUUUUUAGUUAGAACAUCAAGUUUUAGCUCAUUUGUUCAGGUUCAGCAUAAAAACAUAAAUUUCACUCAUGAAUGAGAGUUGUCAUGAAUGCAUAUUGUUUUACUGAGUUUUACUGAGAUCAAGCUAACUUACUGUAUGCACAUAGAAAGUUAGCAUAUCAUUUAAAAUAUACCAAAACUAGUGGUCUUGUUUUGCACACAUAUGUUGCUGAUUGGUCUAACACGUUGAAAUGCUAUUAUGUAAUGCCGAAACAGAGUUGUUACUUGAAACGCAAAGGAUUAAAUUCUUUAGGCUUCAAGGAAUAAAAAUAAAACACAUACAACAGUUAUAAAAAUGGUGCAGAGCUAUUCUUGUAAACAUCUGCCAAAUACUUAGUUGCUCUCAAAACACCAUUUCUCGAUAGCAAAUACAAAACGAACACAACGCAAUUACAACUCGUUCGACAACAAACUACUAAACACGCUGUGUUGGGUCCUUUCCUUUCCCAAACUCCUCUGCACAUCCUUUCUCAUUGUGAAAUGUCACGUUCACUGAAAUCUCGACGUCUCAUUCGUCUCGUAUAUCUGUAUAUUAAGAUAGACGAUAUCUAAAGAGUUCCACUAAUUAGUAGGGAAGAAAUAUAUGUUAGUACUAGGCAACAUUCAUCUCAAGCCUUAAAACAUAUUAAAGUAGGGGAUUCCCUCUAAGGAAAUCAACCAAACAACUUAUGGGUCUAUUCAGUUAAAAACACUCAAGGAAAACAUAAAGGGAAAUCACCUAUAUAUCUGACCGGCCACAAGUUCUUGACCCUUCUAUAUUUGCUCAUCACCUGGGAAAACAAACAAAAGUAAUAAAUUGAACCACAUAUAUUCAAAGAGAAACAAAAUGAUCAAAAAACUUUAAAGAACCAACAAUUUCAAUUCAAUUGGAUAAAUUAACAAAUCUAAGAAAAAGGGUACCUGGCAGAAAGUGUCUUCAGUUGUGAGGGGAGAGAGACGGCCUACAAAGAGAGUGCAGUAAGAGUCACCAAUAACGUUCGGGUCGCCAAAGGGAUUGCCUACAAAUGAAAAUAAUGAGAAGAAUAAUGAAAACAUUCAGACAGAAGAAUUUGUCCCUAAAUGGGGUAAUACAAUUGGGAGAAAAUUACAGAGGAUGCAAACUAACUAAAGAAGAUGCAAACUGAAUCCAUUCCACCAUUAGCCACCAACCGAAAAUAACCCAUAUUUCCCCAACAUUUAGAACCCUUCUCACCUCGUUAUUUAAAAAAGGAAAAGAAAAUUAAAAAAAUUACCAAUAAAAACUACAAAAUUGAGCUGAUUUGGAGAAAAAGUUGAAGUUGUCGAGCUUAGAUCUCUCUCUCUCUCUCUCUCUCUCUCUCAAAACUAAUAUACAUACAGGAGGUUGUAUGUAUAGCUCUGGUAGGUAUUUUUAUUUUAUCUUUCCACUUUUGAUUUGGAGUGGGACGACGUCGGGAGCUUCAACCAAAAAUUCACACCGUACCCGAUUUCGGAGAUGGAGAAGAUGGACUAGAGGCCGGAUUCGUCGAUGAAACAAGCAAUGUGAAAAUUGAUCACAAAUGGGAGGAAAUGGUGUUUGAAUUUCUGAAUGGGUCAGUAAGAUAACUGCCAAAAUCUCAGCCGUCCAGUGCUCUUAAAUCUGAACCGUACACGUCACUUUGUAACCCUCCUUUGUCAAGCUACUUUGUACAUGUAGCAUUCAAUGGGGAAUUUGGAGAAAAACGAUGGACUGAAAUUAAUUGGGGGCCGGUGACGCAUUGGUCUUUUGAAUUUUGGGCUGGGAUAUGUGGGCCAAUUAAACCCAAAUGUGAAUUUACGGAAUUGCCCCCUCCUAAAUUUCCUAACCCAGCAAGCCGGCAAAGGCUCCGCAUAGAAAAGUAAAUCUCAUUUUUAUCAUUUUCUUUCACUUACAUUUUUAAAAUCAUACAAACAUGGCCUUCUCCUCCGCUGCAUCUUACAGAACCCCAGCCCACCUCCCUUCCUCCGCCGAUUCGCGUUCCCUUUUGCCUCUCAAAGUGGAUAAAAUUACACCUCCUUGCGAUUUGAAUCCAAAACCUCAUUCUAUUUUCUGUACCCUGGCCAAACAUCAGCCAAUGGCAAUGACGGAACAGCAACUGGAACCGGUGGUUAUGCAGAGGCCGGACUCAUUUGGCCGGUUCGGUAUGUUUGGUGGGAAAUAUGUUCCUGAAACCCUAAUGUACGCCCUCACGGAGCUUGAGACCGCAUUCAAAUCCCUCGCUUCUGACCUGGAAUUUCAGGUCUUGCUUAAAGAAUUUUUUUUUUUUUUUUUUUGCCGAAUGAAUAUUUAAUUCAUAUUUUAUUUUUCUGUAUAUCAAUUCGUGAUUUAUUAAUUGAUGAGGAUUCUCGAUUGCUAACUUUUUUUAUUAAUUUUAAUUGGAAAAAUCAAUUUUGUGUUGAGAACACGUUGUGUCAAGCGCCUUGUAGGGUGAUUUGAUUAAACUGUUUGCUGGUUUAGUAGUUUUACUGCCUUUUCUUCUCUCUAUUAAAAUUUUUGCGGAAAAUGCUCGUAACCCUCACAUUAGUAUAUUAUGUCAAUGAGCUUAUAGUAACUUCUAUUCUGAAUUGUAUUUUGAAAAGUGGAUUUUACUUAAUUUUGAUAUGUUGUCUAGACAAAUGAUGGAAUAUCAGAAAAUUAAACAGAUAGGUAUUUUUUUCAACGUGAUCAAGCUAUGAAUUCUAUACUUCAGGAGCUUAAUACUAAAAAUUAUUCAAACAUAGCCAAUAUUUUUGAAGAAACUGUAACAGUAACGUUAUCUUUUAAUUCAUAGAACGCCAUAUGUCAUCGAAAUGUAUGACUGAUUGUACUAAUUGCAGAAAGAGCUAGAUGUGACAUUGAGAGACUACGUUGGCAGAGAGACUCCUCUUUACUUUGCAGAACGACUUACACAGCAUUAUAAACAUCCUGAUGGAAAAGGACCACAUAUUUACCUCAAAAGAGAAGAUCUUAACCACACUGGGGCCCAUAAAAUCAACAAUGCUGUUGCCCAAGCAUUGCUAGCCAAGCGCCUGGGCAAGAAACGUAUCAUUGCUGAAACAGGGGCUGGUCAGCAUGGUGUUGCUACCGCUACUGUUUGUGCUCGCUUUGGAUUACUGUGCGUAAUCUAUAUGGGUGCUCAGGACAUGGAGAGGCAAGCGCUCAAUGUCUUCAGAAUGCGACUCCUUGGAGCUGAGGUCUGUUUAUCAAUUAGCUUUUUACUAGUUUGUUUUAAUUAUCCAAUUUAAUUGGAAUUGGAAUAUCCACACAUUAAUCUUCUCUUAGCACACACGAGUGGUCUGGUAAAUCUUUUGUCUAAUGCCUUUGUCAUACUUGGACAACUUUGUGCAGAUCAGUGAUUGCAAAGCAAUUUUAUCAUUGUUGGUUUGGAGUACUUUCUCGCAUUCAGCUCAUUAGGAUGCUGUAUGCAGCAAGAGUCCUGCAUGCAUUCUAUUUUUGAAUUGUUUUUGUUGCUUGCAUAAAGUAGUCAUUCUGGAUAUAGGUUUCGUUUCAAGUUCAGAGACUAGCAGCAGCGUCUUAAAAAGCGUCGCCAGGCCCCUCUUGCUUAUGGUAUUAUGUCAAGGCAUAAGCCUCUUGACAGCUGGAAUUUUUCACUUUUGGGGCUGUAUACUUACCAGCUUCAAGACCUCAGUUGCUUGGAGAAGAGAAUUGUUUAGAAGAAUUAUUUCUGUGUAUUACUUAACUGAACAUUUUAUGUACAAUGCUUGAAUGGCUCAGGAAUACAAUUUAUAAUGCUGCUUUUGACUUAAAAUUUCUGAACUCACAUGCAGGUAAGACCAGUUCAUUCCGGGACUGCAACGCUGAAGGAUGCUACAUCUGAAGCUAUACGAGACUGGGUAACCAAUGUUGAAUCAACUCAUUACAUCCUGGGAUCUGUUGCAGGGCCCCAUCCAUAUCCUAUGAUGGUAAGAGAGUUUCACGCAGUGAUUGGUAAAGAAACAAGGAAACAAGCAUUGGAAAAAUGGGGUGGCAAACCUGAUGUGCUUGUUGCAUGUGUUGGUGGUGGUUCAAAUGCUAUGGGGCUCUUUCAUGAAUUUGUUGAUGACAAAGAUGUUAGGCUUAUUGGUGUGGAGGCUGCUGGUUUCGGUCUAGACAGCGGCAAGCAUGCCGCCACGUUGUCUAAAGGAGAAGUUGGAGUCUUGCAUGGAGCUAUGAGCUACUUGUUGCAGGAUGACGAUGGGCAAAUAAUCGAGCCACAUUCUAUUAGUGCUGGGUGAAAUAGUGCUCAUUUCUACAAAUAAUUUAAGUUUAUAUAUUUCUGCUGACUAAUGUUUCUUUAUCACUUCCAUAGCCUGGAUUAUCCUGGAGUUGGACCAGAGCACAGCUUUCUGAAAGAUAUUGGACGUGCUGAGUAUUAUAGCAUCACCGAUGAGGAGGCUUUAGAAGGUAAGAAGAGAUCUUUAAUAUUCCAUUUUGUCCGUGCUUUAUCUUUUUUAACAUAGUCACACUGGAUUAAUAAACUACCAUUGGUCCUUUAUUGCUUUCCCUCCCCUUUAUAUCCAGUUCUUUUAUGUCGUUCUUGAUGGAGUACAGGUCCUCUUUUUUUUCAUGUUUUUCCCUCCCCUCUAUGUCCAAUUCUUUCAUGUCAUUCUUGAUGGAGUACAAGUCCUUUGAUUGCUUUCCCUCCCCUCUAUAUGCAAUUAUUUUAUGUCUUUCUGGAUGGAGUAACAGUAAAGGGGUAUGUAUUGUUUGGCUCCCUGCCCUUCACCUUCCAUUUUUCCACUGAUCUGUUUGUAUGAUGGAUUAAUUAUACAGUAUUGGACAUUAUUAACGAAAAUGAAGAAUCUUAGAUUUUGUUUGUAAUUGAGGUCCAUUUCUGUAGAAAACUACCAUCCUACAUACACUAAAUGUGUUCAUCUGCCUGUGUAAAUGUAAUGCAGCUUUUGAGAGAUUAUCUAGGCUCGAGGGCAUCAUCCCUGCACUUGAGACAUCUCAUGCUCUGGCUUAUCUAGAGAAGUUGUGCCCGAUGCUUCCCGAUGGAACUAAAGUUGUCCUCAACUGCAGUGGAAGAGGAGAUAAGGAUGUUCAGACAGCCAUUAAACAUUUAAAGCUUUAAUCAGUUUAAUGGCAUUAACUUGAAAGUGAGCAUAUCAACUUUUUAGGAAAUUCGGGUGAGCAUUUCUUGAGAGGAGCCUUAUGAUGAUGAAGUCAAUGUAACAUUUAUUUUCGAAGAUAUAAAAUUCAAGGAAGUUUUUGAAGACAUUUUAGUGCGUAUCCUGGUCAGCAUGUAAAGACCCAAAUUUUUUUCUUUGGAUAUCGUAAAAUAAAUCUUUUAUGAAAGAUAAUGGGUUAAUUUCACAAACGGUCACUGAAGUUUAAAACUCUCAGUAACGGUUAUUUAAGUAUUGGGACGCUUUCAAAAAUGGUCAUUGAAGUUUAAAAAGUUUCUGAAACGGUCAUUGAAGUUGAAAAAUACUUUUUUAAUUUUUUUGGUUACAUUUUCGACAAUUUUUCGAUUACUUCCAACCACCGAUACCAUCGAAUUUUGAUACUGUUGGAAAGUCCACAACGUCUUCUUCAAUUACCACUCAAAAUCUCUCCGUAACACUAAGGAAUUCGACCGGAAAAGCACCACAAAAGUCGUCCCAAAAAAUCUUAAAAUCUGUUGAGAUUUUCAAAUUUUUGGGUGACUUUUACGACAAUUUUUCAGCGACUUUCGACCUCCAAGACUGUCGAAUUUUGAUACCGUUAGAAAGCCCAUAAUGUCCUCUUCAAUUACUAUUCAAAAUCUCCCCCAAAUUUCAAAGGAUUCGGCCGGAAUAAACACGCAAAGUCGGCAUCCCAAAAAGACAAAAGCCUAGGAUGCCAACUUUAUGAGUUUAUUCCGAUCGAAUCCUUUGGAGUUUUAGGGAGAUUUUAGAUGCUAAUUAAAGAGGACAUUGUGGGCUUUUCAACGGUUUCAAAAUUUGGCUAUUUUGGUGGUCGGAAGUUGUCAAAAAAUCGCCACAAAAGUCCACCAAAAAUCUGAAAAUUUGGGCAGAUUUUUGCCUUUUUGGGUAACCAACUUUAUUGGUUUAUUCCAAUAAGUAAGCCACAUAAAUCGUAAUUCAUAUUUAAAAUUUAGAUAUCUUUUAUGUAUAUGGUAGUUUACUUAUUUAGAAAUGAAUCUUUCGAAUUUAUCUUUUAUACACAUGGAAAUUAUCUUUUAUAUAUAUAGAAGUUUACUUAAUUUUUCAUAAUCAAUAAUAUUAUAUAGAUGUACAUAAUUAUAGUAAUUAUAUAAUUUAAAUCAAUCAGUCAUAAUUAUAUUCAUAUAUAGAUGUACAUAGUUAUAGUAAUCAUACAAUUAAAUCAAUCAAUCAUAAUUAUAUACAAUUAUAUACCAUAAAUAUUCAGAUCAUACUUAUUUAGAAAUAAAUUAAAUCGGUCAUAAUUAUAUUCAUAUAUAAAUGUACGUAAUUCUAGUAAUCAUACAACUAUAUCAAUCAAUCAUAAUUAUAUCAAUACACGUAUACCAUAAAAUAUUUAUAUCAUUAAUAUAUAGUUUAGGGAAUUGCCUUGUAGUUACUCAACUAUUGGUCGAUGUGCAAUUUGGUCCUCUAACUUCCAUACUUUUAAACUAAGGUCCUAAUUUUCAUAAUUAAUGAUUUUAAAAGAUUGGGGGGGGGGGGGGGGGGGUUAUUAUUUGCCCCUCUUAAAAUAAAAUUUCGUCCUGGAAGAUUACCUUAAUUUUUAUCAUUAAAUGGUUGAAAAUAUAUGUAAAAUGGAAGUUCUAAAAUUUUAUUUUAUUAUUAUUAUUUUUUUUAAAUAGAAGUUUCAUAAAGUGACAAUUUCUUAAAAUAAACUCUUCUUAAAAUGAAAAUUUCAUAAAAUUGGGAAUCUAAAAUAGAAGUUUCGUAUGAUAGGAAUUCUUGAAAUAGUGGUUUCUAAAAUGGAAUUUUCUUAAAAAAAUUUAAAGAUGGGAACUUCUUAAAUUUGGAGUGAGUUUGUAUUAUUGUUUUAAUUUUCAUUACUCUGAAUAAAACUCAACUUAUUGACUUUCAGGUGAGGAGGGGAUCACAAGUGGACUGCUUAAAUACCAAACUCUUCUUAAAUAGUUUAAAUCUUUUUGACAAAUUCUUUCAGUUUUGCAAAUACAGGACACAAAAAAGGGGGUCGGGCGGGAAUAAAAGUAUUUAGGGGUAUAUUUUUUUCUAAUCUGACUCUACUAUCUAAUUUAGAGAUGUUCUAAGGUCAACCCCUUUUUAUAAUUAAGUAUAGUUCUGACAUAAUAUCAUUCAUGUUCAUGCCUAUUCACAUAACAUUAAAUAAUUAUGAAUUGCCAUAUUUCUACCUAAUUUGAGGAAAUCAAACCUUGGAACUUAGUGUCACGUAAUAGUGGUCUAAGAAACAUUAAGAAUGUGUUUAAUUGGCAUGAAAAAUAUUAUUUAGAAAAAAAAAUGUUUUCCUUCUUUUGUGGAAAAUAAAAACCACCUCCACUCAAAGAAAAUUAGGCAAAUUUUCAAAAGUUGAAAAAUGUUUUACAUGGAAAAAAUUAGCAAUCAAACACCUCAAGUAGGAAUUUGGAUGGAAAACUGAUAUUUUUCAUGGAAAAUAAAUGUAAUCAAACACACCUUAAGGAACCGUUUGAUUGUAAAGAUAGAAUUUGGAUAGAAAGAAUACGAAUUGAAGUGAAUUGAAUUGAAUUGCUUAGAAUUUGUUUGAGUGGGAAUUGUCGAUUAAUAGUGUUUGAUUGAUAUAAUUUUUCACCUGAAAAUUGUUAAAAUAAAAGUGUCUUUUGAUAUUCGUUUGACUUUGUGUUUCAUGAAAAUUGUCGAUUUAAGAGAUAUCGACUUUUACAAUUGUUUUUAGAAUUUGUUUCUAUUGCAAAAAAAUAAAAAUAAAAAAUAAUAAGAAUAAUAAUAAUCCAAAAAUCAUCAAUAUUUUGAUGUUCGUUUGAUUUUAUUUUAUAUGAAAAUUAUCAAUUUAAGGGAUAUCAUCUUUUUACAAUUGUUCCUAAAAUUUGUUUCCAUUGCCAAAAAUAAAAAAUAAAAAACAAAAAAAAGGGUGAAAAAUAUAAAACCACCUACCCAUGGAAAAAUGAAUUCCCCUGUAAACAAGAAUUGGUGAUUGUGUGAAGCAAAGGUGGAAAUUGAAUUGGUGGUGAAUUCCCCUGUAAACAAGAAUUGGUGAUUGUGUGAGGCAAAGGUGGAAAUUGAAUUGGUGGGAAAAUUUGGCUAUCAAACAGGCCAAAAGUGGAAAUGGAAUUUAUUUUCUAUUUUUUGUGAAAAAAAUUGGGUUAUCAAACAUAGCCUAAAGCUCUAUUUUUUUUUAAAUAAUAAUAAUAAUAACGUAAUCCUAAAUUUAACCUUUAAAAUUUUAAACAUGAACAAUAACUCAUAAUUUUUUUAAGUGUCUACAAAAAUGUAGACCUGUUUUGUUACCAUGUUGUAACAAAUCAAGAAAUUUUCUUUGGAUCAUUAGAACAUAUCGUAAAAUAAUUUUUUUAUAAAAUAUAAUUGUUCUUUAACUUAAAAUAAUAAUAAUAAAAAACAAAUACUUAAUCAUAAACAUUAAAUUAUUAUUCGAGAAUUAUAAUCAUUUUUUCUUUAUUAUACCACUAGAGACUCGUUCCAAACUUUAACGCCUUGAACAUCAAUUCAUAAUCAAUUCAUAGACACCGAGAUAAAAUCCAAAUAAGUAAGCCACAUAAAUCGUAGUUCAUAUUUAAAAUUCAAGAAUUUUUAUCGUACAUAAGGAGACACGAGGAUUAAAAAUCGAACUUAGUUGGCCAUAAUCUCUGUGCAUAAUCAUAAUUUUUGUACGUAGUGCUACUAAACUACGAUCCUUUGAACUUAAAAUAUAGGACCCAAAUCAUAUUCAUAACUUGGAAUUCCUUAUUUUAAAGUAUGAAAGACGAUUUAACAUACAAUAUAUGACUCAAAGUAAAUAUAAUCAAUGUUUGUUAAUCAGAUUUAAUAUAGUAAUUUAUUUUAUAACCUCAAAAACUAACAAUUAAUAUGUCAAAAAUAAUUUGUUUUAUUCAAAUUAAAAAUUAUAAUCUUAUUGGGGUUUAUGAUCUAUUAGUGUUAAUAAAAGUAAUGAAGUAAAUUAGUAAACAUUUGGAAAGUUAGAAUUGACAAUUGACUAUUAUCCUACACUGGAAGAUUACCACCAUAUUGGAAGAAGAAUCACCUUUAAAAAGGAGUUAGUAUCCCACAUCAAAAGAGUACUAAAACAUUGAAAGAAUGAUCUCAUUUAAAAAUGAGGUAAAGGAGAAUCACUUGUCUAAAAAAGUUAUAUGAGCCUUCAAUUGCAGUGGAUGACUCAUUAAGGUAGUUAAAAGUUUUUGUGAAAAAAAUAAUAAUUAAAUCACCCUGCAAAAACCAUGGUUGGUUUAAGCCGGGUUGAUGGUUUAUUAGCUGGUUCUUUAUUUUUCGGUUAAUAUAUGAGUAUCGGACCGGAUAAAAGGUUGGUUCACGAGUUUCUCGGUUGAACCGAUUGGUUUUGUCCGAUUUAUGUAACAUUGAUUAUCUUUCAUAUAUAUGAAAGUUUACUUGAUUUCCAUAAUCAAUAAUAUUAUAUACAUAUAUAGACGCACGUAAUUGUAGUAAUCAUAUAACCCUUGUUUCAGCCACAUUAUUUGAAUGAAAAUAAGUUUUUAAAUAGUGUAUUGAUGAGAAAUGUAUGGUUAAAAAAUAAGAAAAAAAUUUGGAUUUGCCUAUAAUAUUAUUUUACUGAAAAUGUGUGAUUUUAAUGAUGUUAAAUCACUAUAAAAGAAUGUAUUUUUCCAAAAAAAAUGUGGCUCAAAAAAGGCCUAAUUUAAAUCAAUCAGUCAUAAUUAUAUAUAAUUAUAUUCAUAUGUAGAUGUACGAAGGGGGCGAAUCUGGGAAUUUGAGUCAGCAUGGACGGUCGUUGACUGUCUACCAUCGAUCAUAAUAAAAUAUUAAGAGUCGUUUGAUACCCAUUUUUUGCAAAAAAUAAAAAAUAAAAAAUGCAUUUUAUAAUAGUGAUUUGAUAGAGAAUGCGUGACUAAAAAAAUAUUGAAUAUGCGUGUAUUAUUAUUUUAUUGAAGAAUAUGUAGUUGAAAAAAAAUAGAUAAAAAAUGUAUUUGAAAAAAAAAAUAGAAAUCAAAUAAUGCAUAAAGUUUAAAUAUUAACAAUCAUUUUGUUCAAAUUGAACAUAUAUAAUUAUAUUAUAAAAAUAAACGAACUCAUCAAAUGACAUUGUUACCAAUUUUUGUAUAAAAGAAGAGCACAAAUUCAGAUCUUUACAAUUGUACUCGCAUUACAACAAAUAGAACCCGACAAAUAUUAUUUUGUCAAAUUUAUUGCCAAUAUGCAAUGGAUGUCAUAAUGGUCAAGUUAUAAUACCUUUAACAAGAGGUCGUUCAAAUCUUGUUUGGUCCCCCACCCUGUUGAAUUUUGGCAAAAAUUGUAAAAUUUAACUAAUAUUGCACGAUGAGUUUGCUGGUAAAAAAAUUCAAAUUCGAGACCUGCACUAUAUACAUUCAAGUUUUGGCCAAGUGAGCCACAAUAAGUACUUGAAAAUAAAUUGAAUACCAACAAUAUAACAUAAAACUUUAAUCUAUUGCCAACAGAAAAAAUAAUUCCCAACGAAUCUAGCUAGGGCGGCCACCCUAGCUCACUACCACCUAAAUCCGCCACUGGAUAUACGUAAUUAUAGUAUCAUAUCAUUAAAUCAAUCAAUCAUAAUUAUAUACAUAAUUAUAUCAAUACAUAUAUACCAUAAAUAUCGAUAUCAUGAAUAUAUGGUUUAAGAAAUUGCACUUGUAGUCCCUCUACUAUUGGUCGAUGUGCAAUUUGGUCCUCUAACUUUCAUGCUUUUAAACUAAAGUCCUACUUUUCAUAAUUAACGAUCAUAAAACAUUUGGGGGGCAUUAUACAACCACUUGUCAAAUGUCGAUAUGAUGAAAUCUUCAUAUAAUAACAAUAUAAACUGGUCAGUUCUGUUAUUUUAUGUCUCCUAUAUAUGCAUGUUUUAUGCCUCAUUGUCAAGUGUUGGGAUGAACAAAUGAGUCAAAUGAUCCAAGAGCUCAAGUCUGACAAGUCUUGUAGGGUAAGGUUGGAUUUAGGUUCCAACAGUGUCAAGUUAAAAAGGGAAAACGUGCUUGUUUGAAGCAUUUAAACACAAUGGUUGAAUUCCUCGAACUUUGAUAUAUAUCUUUAGAUUCUGUCGCCAUCAAAAGAACGUGAACCUCCAAUCAUGUCAAUGGAUGCGAAUCGACGUGUGCUUUGCGUAGAAUGGCCACUUGAACCCCUUAUAUUUACACAUGGCAAUCAUCCAAGCUAUCCAAGAACUACAACGUAUGAAGUAGCCACGAUCAAAUGCCGAGGUCGUUACACUAAGAUCAGUCGAGGUGGUCAUACCCUUGCUCAUCGCUUAUUGCCGAAUUCCAUGAAAUAUUUGAGGCCCUUGACAAGUUCAACUAGGACGUCUUCGGAACUAAUUGAUGCAACGUGUCCAUUUAUUAAGUGUCAGAAAAGUCAGCAUAGAUUUGUAGGAUAUUUGACCUCUUGUCAAGAGUCUGUCAAUGUAAUUAAUAUAAAGUAAAGUUGAUGUGACAUCAAGAGUCUCGAAUCAAGCCACAUGGCUUGGAUCUAACAGUGACCACGUCAGCCCGAUCACCAUAAAUAGACAAUUUUUGUAUCAUUUAAGAGAUGGAUCUAUGAAUGAAAAAGAGAGCAUAAUACAUCUUCCCCUUGUCUCUAUCUUCUUCUUCCCCAAACAUUCGUAUUCACAGUAAAAACGCUGCAUAAAGGUCCACAUGUACUUUUCAGAGGUCAACAUAUUCAUCGUAGAUAACAAUGUUAAUUUUAGAAUAGAAAUCAUUGCCUUGUGAACACGAGGUUUUUUUUUUAGUACUUUUAUUCCCCUGAUUUUGCUUUUGCUUCUUGUUAUUGAAUUUGUAAGAGUUGCCGUAGUUUAUUGGUACAAUUCUCAGUUCUUCCCUCAACUUUGGGGAUACGGUACAAAACACAAUAAUCCGCCUAAAAUUAUUGACAUCGGCAAGUAAAGCCGCUGCUCCACUUCGUAAAAACUUUAUCGUUCUUCAAGCAGCAUGAAAUCUUGGGAGCUACUUCUGUCCAGUUCAUGCUUCUCGACAAAACUGACUGAAUUCAUAACUCCGAUUCCUUACUGCUUCGCCUGUCAAAUGCAAAAAAUUAUAAGUCAAGUGUAACGAGAAAACCAUUUUGUUCGAACCAUAUAUCUUUGAAUCAUGUUGUUCACAAGACUAGCAAUGUUGACAGAAUCUAAGUUGCAUCCAAACAUUGCUCUUUUCAGAAGUUCGUUAAGUUAAAAGGCAAGAAAUCUUGCAGUGUCGACAGAAUCAAAGUUGUGUUGAGUGCAGAAAUAAGCAGUUUCCAGCCACGGUAUUGAGAAAAAAGUCGACUCAGGAGAAGCUAGCAAAUUACCUGUGAAUACAAGAAAGUUCCAAGAAUGGCAAUGGCGGCUCCAAGACCAUUGAUGGGUUUUACUGGUGUAUGAAAAAUGAUGAUAGACGAGACAAUGACAGAAAUACGUUUCAUCGUGUUUCCAAUGCUAAACGUCAAUGGAGAAAUCUCAUCGAGUGACAUGUAUGACACCUGAUUGUAUAGAUGGUAGAACACACUCUGGGCCGCCAUCCACCUGUUUUAUACAAAAUUCGACAAAGUAACCAUCAAUGAAAUCAAAACUCCAAAUCUUGGCAAAAAGGCAAAAAGAAACAAAAUUUAGUACUAAGUGAACCCAAACAUCGACAACGAAAAACCUGAAGAAUAUCUAAAACUACACAAAAGAGUUUUGCCCGCAUCAAUUUUGAUUAACGGAUCAUAUAAUAAUAGUGAGGUUAUCAUGUGAUUACCAAAUGAUCUGGGGUCCGAUUUGAGAUAGCGCUUCUUUAAAUCCGAGAGCCCAAAUGAAUGGUCCCUCGAUAGCAAUUGCAAAUGGAGUGAGAAUCAAGAGAGAGAGCAUAGAUAAGCAAGCAUAAUAGUUCAUUCCACUGACAGAUUUGCCCUUCAUGCCCCUCUUGGAAAAUAUGUUCCGGAAAACAAACGCCAAAUUCGAUAUCAUGGCCCCCAUAAAACCUGAUGUGAACAGCCAACAAACAUAGGAAUAUAUGCAUUAGAAAACAACAUGAAUAGUGGUAAUCUCCAUUCAAUGUCCCUGCAACUUUAUUCAAUUAUCAAAAAUACCAGAAAAUGCCAACCCGAGUCACAUACAUCAUGCAACUCAAUGAAGAAUUUACAAUAAAAGAAAUAAAAAAGACGAGUUCAUGCUUAAAAUUAAACUAUAUAUUACACUGACAUGAAAGACAAAUGCAUAUAGUACUUGUCUAAAAAGUGUGACCAACACGAUACAUGUCGGACAUAGACACGGACAUGUCACACCAAUGUCAUAGCUCCAUUCUACUAGAAUGGAUAAGAUUAAACAAAGCUCGAUAAGAUCACAAAAGUGAAGAUUCCACACGAAGAUCAACAAAUUACCAGUCAUGUUGAAGUUGAGCUCGGUGAGGGCCGCAAGACCACAACCACCAAUGAUUGGAAUGAGGGACAAGUAAACAGAUGGUGGAAAUGUCUCUCCCAAGAUAAAUCUCGACACCAAAACACUGAAAGCGGGUUCACCACUCUUGACUAUGUGAGUAAAUGAUACAGCCACCUUUGACAUACUCACAGUAGCUGCAACAUGCCCAAUUGUAUGUGCAACUGCAACCUAAACACAGCCAACCCAACAUCAACAUCAAUCAAAUCUUUCUAUAGAAUAUAUACAAGGAAAAAACAUGUUUCGGUAGAUCUAAAUUGCAAAAACACAGAUGGCAUAUUCGGUAGUAGACUGACGGUAUAAACGGAGAAAAAGAAACAAAGCAUUCUGUCCAUUGUGCUGUCAAGUCCAUGUCCAGAAGUUCAAAAACCCCAGAAAGGUAAUUGGUAAGGAAAAGUCAGCAGUUAAUGAAGAAAAAACUAAUUUUUUCUCUGUAGUAUGAUACAGGACAUGGUUCCAUGACCAAAUGUUCAAAAAUCUAGACAAAUAGUUAGUGAGGACUUCACAUUGUUGAUGAAGAAAAAGAAACUAAAAUUUAGUCCAUUGUACCGUCCAUUUCCCAUCCAGAAGUUCAAAAUCCUAAAAAACCAUGAUACGGUGGACUCGACACUAUUAUCGUAGAAAAAGAACCAAGCUUUUUUAGGCAUUGCACCGUUUAGAAGUUCAAAAUUCUUGAAAAUAACUGGUUAAAUGGCCUCUACACUAUAAAAUCAGAAGCAAGAACUAUAAUUUUGUUCAUUGUACUGUCAAAUCAUGAUCAUGAGUUACCACCAAAAAAAAAAAAAAUCUAACCAAAGAAAUGGUAAGUUGAACUCUUUAUCAAUAAAGAAAAAGAAACUGAAAUUUUGUCGGCCGAGUUCGCAUCCAGAAUGUAUAAUUGGUGGACUCGACGCGAACUAAAAUGUUGUCAAUUAUACCCCUGUCCAGAAGAUCAAAAACCCUGAAAAAUAAUUAUACGAAUGGAAGUGAAACACACACACACACACACACACAUAUAUAUAUAUAUAUAUAACAGACAGUAAAACUGCAAGAGAAGCAAGACCCAGAUCUUGUAAAACCGUAAUUUUUCUUACAGGAAAAAGGGUCUUCCAAAAAUCAAGAUCAGUUUUUGGGGUUUCAGCAAUCCUCAGAGCCCAGGAAAUGAGCAUGAUCAAUGAUCCAGCAGCCAGCGAAAGCGUUGAAGUUAACCAUGGAAAUGGAAAAGCAUUCAAAACUUUCUUGUUAUAUAUAUUAAAGAUCACAUUCAAAGCCCACCACGUUGCGAAAUAAAUCCCGAUCUUAACUCUCCUCGCCGCCUCGGAUUUCGCCACCGGCGACUCGCUGAUCGGCUCCGAUUUUUCAGCUUCAUAUGCUUUACACGUGAUCAAAGACUGCUCCUUUUCGUGUUUUAAAGAUUUCUUAAAAGAAGUGGAGAAAGGUUCUGGUGAAACGAUGUGGAGAGGUUUAGAAAAGGAAACAAUGGAGUUCCGGCCAUUAUUGGCCGAUAGGAGGAACUGCAGGUGGCGAGUAGGCGCCGGCACCAGAGAUCUUGACCGGGGAAUAUAAUGGCCGUUGGAUGCUAAAGUAGGCUGCUUAAGAGAGGAGAUCAUAGUAGUAAGAAAUAAUCUUGAGACUUGAGCGUGUACAAAAUAGAAUUUGGAGAUGAAGAAGGAAUUUGACUAAAAUAGAUUUCUAAAUCUAUUAGAGAUUUCUUUAUACGUAGAUGUUGAAUAUAGACAGGAAUUUUGUUACUUAGAGAAAAAUGUAAACUUUUGGUUGUGCCAAAGCCAAAUGGACAGGCAGAAGCUAGUUAUUUGAGAAGAGUCUGAACAGCCGUGUAUAUAUCGAAUCUGAAAAUUCAAAAUUAUUUGGAGAUCGUAGUAAAAUUAUAAAUAUAGAGAGGAAGAAGGGUCUUCGCCAUUUGGUCCUGUUUACCGUUUUUAUAUAUACAAAAGGGGAGAGAUUUGUUUGUUUCAAAAUGUGGAAAUACAGUUGCUGACUGGUGGUUUGUUGACAGGAAGAUUCAAGAUUUUGAAUAAAGAAGAGGAAGCGAAAAGGGACAAGUUUUGUUCCUAGUAAGUAGUAGGGUGGCAAAACCGAAAUCACACAGUUUAACACCGAGAAUAAAUAUGGUUUACCUUUAAAAGUGACCGGUUCAUCUUCAAUUUAUUUAUCUAAUAUUUUUAUUAUUUAUUCUAUCAUUAACCAAUUUGCAUUUUACGAGUCAAAAUUUGUAUCCAUUUUAAAACACUACAAAUUCUUAAAGUUAAUAAUUUUUUAUUUAUAAAUAAAUUCACAAAAUGUAAUAGAUUUUGAAAUUUGUUAUGCCACUCAGGUCUUUGAAUUGACAUAUUGAUAUUCAUUUUUGUCAAGAUGCAUUUUUCAACCACAUACUUUUUAUUAAAAUAAUAUUACACGUAAAUUAAAAAAUUUUCUUUAUUUUUCAACCACACAUUUCACAUCAAUUUACUAUUCUAAAAUGCAUUUUUACAUAAAAAUGACUCUCAAAUACCUCCAUAAUUUUUAGAAUAUGAUACGGAAGAAUUAUGGCAUACAUAUGCAAAUAUAAUCUUGUCACGUUCUUUGAUUUAGGAGUUUUGUAUUAUUUUCAAUGAAUGCCAACUAUUAAGAAUACUUACUAAUUUGUUUGAUUUCUGCAAGAAAUACAAUUGCACCACUUACCACAAGAGGUUAACGUUACUUUUAAUUUGUCCAUUUCAAAUACUAAAAUAAUUUACCGUGUAAUUUGAUAAGAGACUCUCAAAUACUAAAAUAAUUAGUGUUAGAAUUUCUCCAAAAAUAGCAUGUUUUGCACCUUGGAUUGUGUGUAUUGAUUAAUUAAUUAUUCAAUCAAUAUCUAUUUGUUAAUUAAUAUUUAAUAGUAGUUCGCUUUUUGAAAUGGCAUAUUCCGAGCAUUAUGAUGAGAUGCCACUUUAAAAUUGUUCCACCUACUCUAAUCUAUCAAAUUAUAAUAGAAAAUAAGAGGAAUUUGCAAAAAUGUUCAAUUUUAUAUAUCUCAAUUCAAAAAUAUCAACUUUUAAUAAUCUUUACAAAAAUGAUCAAAUUUGGCAUCAAAUUCUUCAUUUUACCCUUAAUGAAAGAAUAAAUAAUUCAACUUUUCUUUUACAAGUUGACACUAAUAUCGAUAAGAGAAAUGACUUCCAUGGGAAGCCACAAUAAUUGUUGCUAUUACCCAUGCUCGUCCACUUGCCUGCACUUUUCUUUAGAUAUUAACAAAUUAUUUUUGAAAAAUUCAAAAACAUAAAAUAGCAAACAUUAACAACCAGAAAAAAAUCUAUGGUUUGUACUCCAAAAGAAAAAAUAAUUUGUUUAUAGCGAUAAAUUUAAUAUCAUACAAAUUUGAAUUCGAGUAGGCUCUCCUCAUUUCUGGGCAGAAGAUAUUUUUCUGUGUUAUUUGAUAUUUAUUGAGAAGUAGUUUGUCGUAGUUGUCGUUAUAUAUUUGAUUUCAAUAUGGUAGACUGUCAAAAUAAGUAGUAGAUAUUUGUCAUAAUCUUCUUACAUUUCUUAGUUACAUAAUAAUUGAAGGUACUCCUGUAAUUUAAAUGUCAUUAAUUGUAGCAUAAAUUCUUUACAAAAAUAGUAGUUGAAGAUGAUAAAUGCAUAUGGUGAAGUGGAUCUGUCAUGUCACUCUCGUCGAGAAUUGUACUUGAAAUGUUGUUUUCUACAAUUACAAGCGUCGAGAAUGUUACUUUUAACGUCAUUCUCGUCAUUUAACAAUGUCGAGAGUAACAUUACAAAUACCACGACGAAAUUAGGGAACAUUUUUUGUAUAUUGCUUGCGGAUAAUUAGCAUAUUCGUUUGAAGUAUUCGUAAUUAGUUGAUACUAUUUUUUUGUUUAUGGCAUGCAGAUAUGAUUGAUGUUAUAAGAUUUGUCGUCUCCUAUGGUGGUACAUUUGUCAACAUUGACGACGAGUGGAAGUGGUUAGGCAAUCGAACAGCAUCAAUUGUUGUCCGACGUCAUAUUGAAUAUGAAGAGCUUGCAUAUAAAUUAUUUGAGAAGCUUAAUAUUGACAGACUGCAGUUUCGGAUUCAACUAAAAUUUAAAGUUCCAAACAUGAACGUAUCCCUUGCUGAUGUAGCCGACGAUGAGGCUUUGUAAUGAUACUUUUUUGUUCACACACAAGCAAUUUUGUGUGUAACUGCAGAUGAAUAUGAUGCUGGAGAGCAAGAACCACAUGUCAGGGAUGGCACGUCCUUUCCAAUAGAAGAUGCAUGCGAUGUAGUCAGUGUGUACGAACUACAAGAGUCAAAAAUGAUUGAUAAUAAGGGUGUAGGUUUAGGUAAAUAGAAUUUGUAUAUUGAAAAUACAAUUCAGUCGAUCAAUCAACAAGAAAUUCACGAGAAUCAGAUUUUCUUUACCAGGAAACAGCUGCACACAAGACUUCGACUAAAUGCUUUGACAGAGAAGUUUUAUUUCAAGGUUAAAAAGUUUAAUCUCAAAUCUCUUACUGUGUGCUGCAUCGACAUCACGUGCCAUUAGCUAUUGCGAGCCUCCAAGAUAAAAAGUACGGACUUCUUUAAAAUUCGAAGGUACAUACCUGACCAUACAUGUUCUUUGUAUGUUCGGCGGAAUGUGCGAAUUCAUGCAACGAGUGCACUGAUUGGGCAUCACAUUACCAGACGAUUGGUCGAUGGAAACCAACCAUACAUUCCCGUGGGCAUUGUCGGGGAUAUACAACAUGAGUUCGAUGUACGAAUUAGCUACAGUAAAGCGUGGUGGGGUAAAGAGAAGGGACUUUGAAUUCUUCACGAUUCACCUGAAGAGAAUUAUCAAAAAUUGCUUUCAUACUGUUACAUGUUAAUUGAACGAAACCCAGGAACCAUCGUACACAUUGAGCUCGACCCUAAUAACAGGUUCUUCUACUUUUUCUUAGCAUUCGGGCCGAGCAUACAUGAUUUUCGAGAGGACAUGAGGUCGGUAAUUUGCAUUGACAGGAGUCAUUUGAAGCGUCAGUAUAAGGGAACACUAUUAGUAGCUGCAGCGCAAGAUGCCAACAUACAAAUAUAUCCUAUUGCUUGGGGUGUUGUCGAUGGGAAAACAAAUGCAUCCUGGUAUUGGUUCUUCACAAAGUUGAAAGAUAUUGUUGAUGAUUCAAAUUAGCUAGUGUUUGUAUCCGACAGGAAGAACAGCAUCAAGUGAGCAAUUACAAUGUUUUUCCCGCUUUUGCACCACGGUGCCUGCAUAUGACAUAUCGAGAAAAAUCUCAUUGCUAGGUAUAGCAGUCGAAAUGUCAUAUUCCUUUUCAAAAGUGCAGCAUUCGCAUACUGCGUAUCAGAAUUCCAGCAAAUGAUGAGACAAAUUCAGACCAUUCGGCCAGCAGUUGCAUCUUAUUUGGAACGUGCUAGUCCAUCUACUUGGUCAUGGGCAAAUUUUGUCGGUAAUCGGUACAAUAUCAUGACUAAUAAUAUUGCAGAGUCAUUGAAUUCAGUCCUUAGGCGGCAACGAAGUUUCCCUAUAACCUCGUUCGUCCAACACAUUAUGACAUUGAUGCAACAAUGGUUUUUCGAGUGGAGAAACACAUCUACCAACUGUCAUAUUGCCCUGACAUAAAAAAUGGAGGGGAAAUUGAGACAAUCUUUUGACACUGGUGCAACCUUAGAUAUAUGAAAUUUGGAUGAACUCGUUUUCGAGGUUGGCACAUGUACAGAAAUGUGUACUGUCGACCUUGUAGGUAACACAUGUUCAUGUCGAGAGUUUCAGAUGCGACAAAUUUCAUGUGUACAUGCGUCUCGCGCUACGUGCUCAAAAGGUAUAUCACUGUACGAUUUGUGCUCCCGUUACUACACCACGAAGUGUUAGCAAGCUUCCUACACCAAACUUCUUUACCCCGUUGGAAUGGAGUUAGAUUGGGUUGUUCCCGAUACUAUUAGUUCCAUCAACAUUUUGCCUCCAAAUAUACGUAUAGCACCAGGUCGCCCUCCUACCCAACGUAGAAGGUCAAUAACUGAACGAUCUACCAGCACUCGAAAAUGUGGCCAAUGUGGUGAUUCCGGACACAACAGGCAAACAUGUAGGACUCGACAUAGAGAAGUAACACGUGCACUUGAAUUACCAGUUUAUUUUUUGUAUGAAAUCAUUUGCUAACAUGGACUAUCCAUGUGUUCAAUAGAUUUUUGUACAUUUCAUGGUUUCUAUCAUUUUCUUUCCAAAUGUAAUUGGUAGGGUUCGAUUUUGUGUACGAAAUGAUUCGCUAACAUAUAUUAUCUACGUGUUGAACAGAUUUAUGAGCAUUACAUGCUUUCUAUCAUUUCGUUUCUGAAUGUUAUCGGUAGUGUUCGAUUUUAUUACCACGUAAUUUCAUGAAGACAAAAGUUAAUAACUAUUUCAGUACUACAAUUUUCUUCAUUAUUAUAUACACAACUUGGUAAUGGAUACAAAAGAAAGCCAUGCAUGACUCGUUUUCUUAUGUCACUGGCCAUACUAAAUAGUCGUCACAACAAAAGUAGAAAAUCACUAUGUGCAUAUUCGAGGUCACUGCACAUACAAAUUGGUCAUCACCACAAAAAUUAUCCAUUAUCUAUAUACCUAUAAAUAUGUCAUUAGAUAUGCUUAGACAUUAUAGAUAUACGAUCAAACCUUCUACAUGUCCUCCACAACGGACAAAGAGGACAUAACACUGUCAUUGUCAUCGUCGUCGUCCGAGCUUAUCACUAUCACGUCAUCAUUUCUGAUCGGAAUCACCUCGGAAUUGUCAUCCACCAAAGCUUGGUCUGCUUCCUGUGGGACCUCCAUUGGUACGUUCUCACGAUUGACAUUAUGAUUACCAUCGCCAACAUGCAGCGGCUCCAUUUCAUUGAUUAGAUUAGGGAACGGAAUGGGGUGCAGGCAAACCCUACGACGGCGGUUCGUUGCUUGAGGAAUAUAUGGAACAAUGACAUUGAUUUCUUCGUCAUCUUUUGAGUCGAUGAUGAUGGGGUUGGCCGCUGAAGAGUCGGGUACGGAUACAUUCAUGACAACAUCAAUAUGUGGAGUCCAUUCAGUUGAUGAAGACUAUUCACCGAAAGAACUUGUUCGCGUUAAUAUUUUGUUCAAAGAUACAUGCUUGCAUAUUGAAGUCAAUUCCAUUAUUUUAUAGUGAACACUGAGGUGUACAUUACUGCAUUAAAAGUCCUCACACCAACUUCACCUACUUGUAUUUAUAUUUGAUUGACAUGCUGUGUCCCCAUAAUAUCUCCUGAUUGUCCUAUCUGUUAAUCUUUGCCUCCAUUUCACCCAUUUUCAUUCCAUUGUUAAUACUUGAAAUAGUAUUUAUUGGGAAAUGUGUAGUCCAAAAAGUAGGGAAAUGUUGAACAAAAAGCACAAAUCGAUGCAAUUCAUGACAUUUCAUGUCGUUAUAACAUUUCAAUAGUUGUUAUCGACAUUCAUAAUCUGAUCGACACUUGAACUUACAUUAGAUAUCGUGUUAACAUUUGUAUUGAAAAACGAAAUGAGACACUUCUCAACAUUUCAUACAUUUCUUGAUAUUUGUCGUGUAGUUCUUGACAUUACAUGUCUGCAUAUCUUUACACUUGACAUUACAUUUGUCUAGAAUGACAGUACGAGCAUAAAAAAAUACAUAAAUAUAGCAAUGAACAACUGUUAAUGGACACCGGUGGUGAAAUAUAAUCAACGGUCACACAAUCAAAGUACAGCUAGCCACUACGACUUUUUCACUAUCGGGAAUGAAGAAAGUAUUAGUUAUGACAAAGAUCUACUGUAAUCUUUCGUCUGUAUAGUGACAUUUUAUCUGCUGAAAUUAAUUCUAUUGGAUGCCCUAGAACGAAGUAUUUUAUAUAUUUGAGUAGAAACAUUACGCAAUUUGGCCUAUACAAGAAAUGAUUUUACGUUAGUCGAAAUUAGUAUAUACGAUAAAUUAACUACGAUAGUAAAUAAAAAGAGUUAAAAUGCUCACCCAUUGUUCGUACAUGGUAGAUAGGGUAUAAUCUCCUGCUUUAUUUGUUCAUUUUUAUGUUUAUUUAUAUCUCAUUUGGUGGAAAGGGGUGAACACUUCAAUAAUCCUUGAAUCAUAGUGCGUGUUGCUUCUGCAUGUGCCUUGAUUGUAUCUGGUGUGUGAACAUUAUUGCUGUAGUCGUAUAUCUGAAAUUUUCAUUCAGGAAUAUUGACCAGAAAAAGAUAACAUUCAUUGCCUGGAUAUGAGCUUGGAAUUAAUAAAUACUUGCAUCCCAUCCAUGGACGAUCAGCUACAGACAAUCUACCAUUGACGUAGUCUUGUAGGCGAGUUCCAUCUGGUUGACCUCUCUUGUUUCCCAUUCGAAAGUCCAAUUACCACCUCAUUUGAUGAGAACACUCCUCUUCAAAUUGAAAGUCCAAAAUUGCAUAUUGUUUAUUGACGAGAGUACAAUGUUCAUUCAUACGUCACCUUAAUAACUUCAGCUCCAACUCAAUAUGCUAAUGAAAUAAAUACAUGUAACAUAUAUUAGACAUAUUGACUAUGAAAUCAAAUUGUUUGUGAUUGCUAACCUUCACUCACCGCAAUAUUCAAAUCCUUCGUCGGAUCUAUUAAAGUUCUCAGCAUGUCUCUUCCAUAAACAUUGUUACUGCCAUCAUCCAAAUAUGCAUUAUUAUAACAUAAUUUAAAUUACUGUCGAAUAAAUCAACAGAGAAUUUUUGACAUUGAUAUAAUAAUGUUUAGCAUUCGAACUAUUAAGAAUGAGUUAAAUUUGUUAUCUAGAUUGAUUUCUCGGUAUCCAAUUUUAAAUGUUUUUGUACUUUUUCAUGUCGACGGCCUGUGAAUGAUGAAGACUAUGUGUAUUUUAUCUUCUUUUUCCUUUCUCUUAUCUACAUUUCAACACUUUCUAUUAGUUGAGACAUUGAUGUCUCCUGUGGUUGAUCAGUAGGAUUUAGACUUGCAUGGGGAAGAACAUCCUGCUGCAUGGAACCUAUAAUGACUUUCAUAUUGGAUUCUCAGUUAGAUAAUCUGUUUAACAUAUUCUCAUUCUUUUCGUCAAUGUAAGAUCUCACAGAACAUAAACCGGUAUCAACAUAAGAUUGCAUGUGUUCCUGUUGCUGUUGGAAUAAUUCUUCUUGCUUUUAGAGAAAUGCCUAAUAAUGGGCUUAUUGUUUCUGCGAUUCUUGGGCAAUAUGAGUGUUAAAUAAACUUGAUAGAGAAUUAUCCAUGUAUGAAUACAUACUACAUUGCAUGUAAUCUUCCAACUAUUUGUUAUGUUGUUUGAACAGCUGCUUUUGGCUUUCAAGGAUCGCAUGGUUUAGAAUUCUUGAUUUUUCAACAAAUUCUACCUUCGAGUUGCCACAUAGACUGGACACAUCUGAUAUCGUAUACUGCCUCUACAUACCUAACAUUUCUUUCAUUCGGUCUUCAGUUACAUAACUGGAGGAACCAGAAGCAGAACUAGCCCAACUCCAGUUGAAGUUCUUGAUGUACCACAACUGGUUGUUUCUUGCACACGAAUGUUAUCCGGUAUUGGUUGUACUACAUUAUCUAAUUUUUCAUUGACAAUGACAUCUAAUAUACUAUAUUCAUUGUCAGUUAACAGUGAAAGACUUGUGUACCACGAUGUUUGUAAUUCUUCUUCCGUAGGCUGCAGCACUGUAAUGACUUCGAUCUGUAAUCAUAAAAAACUCUUAGAAUUAAUUUGUUGAAUUGAACUUGUUAAUAAUUAAAUGCGAAUGUCAUUCUACAUUGAAAAGAAAAAAUUUAUACAUCUUCAGUAUCCAAAAAUUCCUUAACAUUCGAUUCCUUGAGUAUUGUAUUUGGCCUCCAAUUAUACAUUCGUGGAAUCUGCACCGUUUUGUAUCUACGACGACCAAACUUUUGUCCAAUAUGUGGAAACGCUUCAUAUAUCUAAUACUGCAACAUAAUUAAAGAUAAAUGUGAUGAAUAUAAUUUAUUCUUUGUACAAAAAAAUUAUACAAAUACGUCAAUAAUUAGAAUAGGAACAAAAUACCUGAAAUGCAAGUGGAUAGCCUUGUACUGCAUACUUACAUUCCGUUUGUUGGUUCUGUUGCAUCCUUAGUAUUCUUUUUGAUUGUGACUCUUUCAAUGAAUUUAACAAAACGAAAUAUGCUUUACGGCCUCAUGGAUACAUAAGGAAUUCAUCAAGAUGUUCAAUCAUGCCAGGAGUUCUAUAAUAAAUUUGUCUUAAAGUCGGUUUCAACACACACUCAACCAGCAUAACUAAUCCCAGCUUAAAUUUAUCUUCUUCAUCUUUACAUAUGCGAAAAGCUUCAAAAAGCAUUCUAUUACUAAUUCUUUUAGCACCAUUGAAGUAUUGAUUUCUGAGACGAUCGUUAUUAUAAUCAAUUUCUAUGAAUGAUUCAUGGCAAGGUAGUCUAGUAAUGAGGUAAAAUUCUUGCAUGACAAACCUAGCAAGAUGGUCAUUUAACCGUACCCAAAGUUCAUUAUUUUGCCAUAAUGUACAAGUCUCAUUAUAAAUUUGUGUACCAACCUACUAGUAAAUUAUUCUUCUUCUCCUUUGAAAACAACUCCAUAAAUAAAUCCAUGAAAAUUAUUACACAUCGGAGAACAUUGUUGAUUUGUAUCUAUAAAUUCUACAAAAUCUUUAAAGUAUUCAUUACCCACCCACUCUAUAGACGCGGCUGAUUGAUGCUUAUGAGCAGACGCCUCACACUGUCAGAUGUAUACACGUGUCCCACAUCCAACGGUUCUCCUCACCUAUAAAUACUCAAGGUUUGAAAAAAGGCAAAGGUAAUGAAACUCUUACAAUUUAGCUCUCCAUAAUAAGAAAAUAUAUAUUCUCCUCCCCAUUGUCUUGCACAAUCCGGGCACUAUUCUAAUCACCGGAUACUAACUUGACUGUCGGAAUGUAUACGACCACCACCACCACUGCUAGUUCCGACCGUAUGCGUCUGAUCAUGCUUUGAUUGUGCAUAGGAAGGAUCAUGUGGAGUAGCUAUCGAUUGGCCACGUGGGAGGUCGAAUUCGCGAGGUCAACAGAUUGGCGUCGUCUGUGGAAAACUUCGUGUCCAAAGUUCUACAUUUCUCCACCGAAAAAGCCAUUGGAAAGCCAUUGACUUACCCUGAAAAGGGCACGGUCUUGAAAAAGAGCAAAGUCGAAUUGCAAUCCAAAUUCUUAUCACCCUUGAAAAAGGAGUAGAUAAGAUGAGUUCCAGUAAUGAGGACGCAAACCCCAGGAUGGACACCUCUGAAGAAGAGGUGCUCCGAAAUAAUGUCACUCACCAAAGACCCCAUCACCGGCAUCGUCAAGGUGAAAGAACGGUCAUGCUCACUGAAGGAAUGACUCAAAUAGUUGUGGGCAUGGGAGAUAUUGCAACUCAAAAUAUAGCGAUAGAUGAAUUCUUCAUGCAAGCCCGAUGUCAUCAGAGCUCCCAAAUGCCCCAAGGAUCUUACCAGCUCAUGAAGUCCCCGCAUCUCAUUUUCGAGGCCAUAUGAGCCAGCACAGAGAACGCGCCCUCGAAAGAGAAGUGGGUACGGAAGUCACAUCCUAUGUGUAAGGGAGCCAACGAGCAAAACCGCAAUUGGGGGACAACUUCCCACUAGAAUAUGAAGAACAAAGGUCGGUCAGUGUCUUUGACUGAAUAGGGCAAGACCUUAGUAAUAGGGUUCGCUCAGUGCAAAAAUCAGUUCGGCAAGAGUAGGAGCAAGAACAAGCACCCCUUCUACCUAAAAAUGGGAAGGAAAGAAGGAACUUAGUUGAUUGGGUAGUCGAGUAGGAGCACCUCCAUCUCCCCAGAACAUGCAAGAUGAUGAGGGCUCCGAAGGGCCGUGUCGAUCUUAUGAAGUUGAUGAUGAUGAUGAUAGCUUCCAUUUUUCAAGAGAGAUCUGAUGCUUCCCAAUGCCUGCGAAUUUCAUGCCCCAUAAAAUCCCCAAGUAUGAAAGAAAGGGGGACCCAGAAAAGCACCUCACCAAGUACAUGACACAGAUGAGCCUUAGGAGAGCCUCGCCUGCUUUGAAAUGUAGAGCUUUCCUCCUAACCCUGGCCGAAGCCGUAGAAGUGUGGUACAAUAGACUGCCUCCCCUAAUCAUUAGGAGUUGGCCAGAUCUGAAAAAGACAUUCUUAAACCAGUACCUCUCACGUAGAGAAGAAGAGGCUCCAGUGCAAUGCCUACAAGAUAUGAGACCAGCCCCUGGAGAAACGCUGAAAAGCUACCUCACCACGUUUACGAAUGAAAUGACAUACUGCAAACAGGUCAUUGACAGAGAAGCCCUUUCAGCCUUGAAAAAUAGCCUCAACAUGAACAUUUUGUUCUAGAGGGAUAUACGCAGCAAGAAUCCCACCACUUAUGACGAACUGGUAGAAAUGAUGUGAGUUGAAAUCGUCAGCGAAGAGAUGAUUGAUCACCGAAACCGUGCCACACGGGGACUCCCUCCACGUCAGAGGCAGGUAGGUUGCUGACGCACAACGCACUUGGAUACCCAGUAAUGGACCCAAGCAGGGCAUACAAUAGCUCCCACGUCCGGACAGGCACUAGCUUUUGCCACGCUAAAUGCAGUGCCAGUAUUGGCAUACAAGAAUGCCCCUGCCGAGGUGGGACCAUCUAGGGGUACUGAUAGUAAUCGAAAGAAGAAGAAUAAGAGCUCAAACAGGCCCUUAGAAGGGGCAAGGUUCUGCACCUUCCACCAACUCUAUGGACACAACACCAACGAAUGUAGAAAUGCUUCUCGAUGCUCGGAUCGAAAUAACCUACAUCCCUCAAGGAGGCACGAACUCGCAGAUCCACCUCCUCGAACAGGGGAGAAAGGAGGCAAAGAGACCAGUCACCCUGGAGAAGAGAAUCGAGGGACAGAUGAGAGUUCAGACAGAGAGAUCGAGACCCAUUUUCUGGAGGCCAAAUCAUCAAAGAAAUUGACAUGAUCAUUGGGGGACCUCACAUCAGUGGCAACACUAGGAAUGCCCAAAGGAACUACACAAGGGAAGCAAAGAAUCCACUAAUGCUCACUUACAUCGUCAACCAAUCCCAAGAAGUCAACAAGAUGGCCCUGAUUACCUUCUUCCAAGAAGAUGCACAAGGAGUUUACCACCCCAUUGUGAUGCGUUGGUAGUAAGAGCCGUAGUGGCAAGAAGCGAACUCAAGCGCAUGCUCGUCGACAAUGACAGCUCGAUAAAUAAACUGUUCGGCUUUACCUUCGACAAAAUGCUAAUUGAACAUGGGUUAAUCUCCAUGACCGACCCACUAUUUGGAUUUACUGGAGACAGCAUCGUCCCAUAAGGACGAAUUACUCUGCCCGUUGAGAUGGGUUCAACUCCCCUAGUGGCCCAACAUUUUAUGUAAUUCUUGAUAGUACACCACACAUCAGCCUACCACGGAGUAUUUGGUAGACCCGCUUUGAAAGAUCUUUGGGCUGUCACCUCCAUCCAUUACUUAUGUAUGAAGUUCCCAAUUGAACAUGAAAUUGCUACGGUUCAAGGCAACCAGAUGGGCUCCAGAGCAUGUUACCUAAACUCUCUGCGAAAAUCAGAGCCCUGCACUAUUAAUGUGAUCAUAACAAAGGUUGCGAAUGAAGCUGACUUGGACAUGGAAAUGCUCGAUGCCCCUGAACAAGGGCAUACCUCCCAACAGGGGAAAGACGUUGAUAUGGAAGAGGCCCCUGAAGAAGGGCACCCUCUUGAUGAAUUAGACCCCCGAAUAACUGACUCAGAACCGAAUGCGACCCCAAUGGAAGAACUUGAAACUUUCUCCGUCAACCCAGAGGACCCCAAUCAGGUCUUGCGAAUUGGAAAGAUACUGUCCCCUAAAGCGAAAGAAGAAAUGAUAAGCUUCCUAAAAAAAACUUAGAUGUCUUCUCUUGGAAGCACAAAAACAUGGUGGGAAUAGACCCAAGGAUCAUUUGCCAUCACCUUAACAUCAACUCCUCUUGUGCCCCACGUCGGUAGAAAAGACGAGCCCUCAUCUCGAAACGGUACAAGGCGCUCAAAGACGAAGUAAACAAGCUUAGCCAUAGCGGCUUCAUCUGAGAAGCCAUCUAGCCGAAGUGGAUAUCCAACUCGAUCCUUGUGAAGAAGCCUAGCGGGAAAUGGAGGGUGUACGUAGACUUCACGAACUUAAACAAAGCAUGCCCUAAAGAUAGCUUUCCAUUGCCAAGGAUAAACCAACUUGUGGAUUUCACUGCUGGACAUGAACUCUUAAGUUUCAUGGAUGCGUACUCAGGGUACAACCAGAUAUCCAUGUUCCGACCUGAUGAGGAGGCCACAUCGUUCAUCACAGACAGAGAGGACUGUACUGUUACAAAGCCAUGCCCUUUAGAUUGAUAAAUAUCGGAGCUACAUAUUAGAGGCUGGUCAACAUGAUGUUUGCCGAACUCAUUGACAAAACCAUGGAAGUCUAUAUGGAUGACAUGCUAGUUAAAAGCCUCCAAGCGACGUAAGUCACCUCGAUCAUACCUUUCAGAUUCUUAGAAAAUAUAAAAUGAAGUUGAACCCCCUCAAAUGCACCUUCGACGUGGCUUCGAGUCAGUUUUUGGGAUACAUUGUGAAUCAAAGGGGAAUCGAAGCAAAUUCGGUAAAGAUGAGGGCCUUACUAGAAAUGAGGUCACCUCAAAAGCCAAAGGAGGUCCAAAGCCUCAAUGGUCGGAUAGCCACGCUCGGUCGCUUCAUCUCUAGGGCCGCUGAUAAGAGCUUACCCUUCUUUAAAGUGUUGAAGCAAUGAAAGAAGUUCCAAUGGACCGGUGAGUGCGAGGAAGCCUUUUGAGCGCUGAAGAAGCACUUAGGAGAGGCAUCUCUGUUAUCCAAACCUGAACCACAAGAAUCACUGCUGCUGUUCUUGGCGGUCUCGGACGAGACGGUCAACGCAGUCCUAGUCAGAGAAGAAAACAAGCACCAAUUGCUAGUAUACUAUGUCAGCAAAGCACUACUCCCAGUAGAAACAAGCUACCCAGACAUGGAGAAACUGGUACUCGCCCUUAUCACAGCAUCAAGAAAAUUGAGGUCGUACUUCCAGGCCCAUUCAAUUGAAGUUCUCACCAACUUCCCAUUAAAGCAGGUGCUGUAGAGAACAUAAGCUUUGGAUCGUUUGCUAAAAUGUGUAAUCGAGCUCAGUGAGUUCAACCUAUUGUUUCGAUCCCGAUAUGCCAUCAAGGGCCAAGCCUUUGCAGAUUUUUGGCUGAAUUUGACAAAGCCCUAGAAAUGGAGGCGACAAUGGAACCAGUCGAGCCCCCAAUAUGGAACCUGUUCGUGGAUGGAUCCUCAGGAGAACUGGCUCCAGAGCAGGGAUCGUCUUGGAAAGCCCAGAAGGCCACAAGCUAAAUUGUACAGUAAGGUUCGACUUCAAUGGCUCGAACAAUGCUACCGAAUAUGAGGCCCUUCUAGUAGGCCUUAGACUUGCGAAAGAAAUGUAGGUCAGAAGGCUCCUGGCAAGCAGCGACUCUCAACUUGUGGUGAGUCAGGUCAAUGGAAACUUUGCUGCUAAAGACAGUAGCAUGACUGUAUGCUUAAAAUUGGUUCUAGACCUAGUUCCUCAUUUUGAAAGGUCCAAACUGAUCUAAGUCCCAUGCCUCGAGAAUACUUAUGCAAACGCCCUGUCAAAGUUGGCCAGCAGCAAAGAUUCAGAGCUACUAAAGAUUGUUCCCAUUGAACCCUUGUCGAAGCCCUCUAUCUCCGGAGGUAAAGAGUUUUUAUGGAUAGAAAGUACCCUAUUAUGGAUGCAAUCCAUCAUAACCUGUCUUAAGGAUCAAUCACUAUCAGUUUCGAGAAGCGAAGCGAAGAAGUUAAGAAGAAGGGCAACACACUUCGUUCUACAAGUGGAUGUCCUCUACAAAAGAGGCUUUGCCUCACCACUUCUCCAAUGUGUAGGAGGGAGAGAAGCCAUGUAUAUACUCAGAGAGAUCCAUGAGGGAAUCUAUGGAAAUCACUCGAGAGAAAUGGCUUUGGCACACAAAGUACUCCGACAAGGCUACUUCUGGCCGACCCUGAAAAGAGAUACUUGCCAUUUCGUUUAGAAAUGUGACAAGUGCCAACACUUCUCAAAUAUUCAAAGAUAGCCUUCUCAGAGCCUCUCCGUAGUCACCAAUCCGUGGCUAUUUGCCAAGUGGAGCAUCGACUUCAUUGGUUCGCUCUCAAAAGGAAAAGGAAGCGCGACUUUUGUCAUUAUCGCCAUUGACUACUUCACCAAGUGGGUCGAGGCUGAACCUCUUGCCAAGUUUACUGAGGCGAAUACUACAAAAUUUGUCCGAAAAACAUCAUUUACAAGUUCGAUAUUUCCCACUCCUUAAUGUCUGACAACGGGAGACAGUUCGACAACAAGAAAAUGUGAGACUUAUGCGACGAACUGGGAAUAAAGAAGGAUUUCUCAACGCCUCAUCACCCCCAAGCAAAUGGGCAAGUUGAGGCAGUAAACAAAACCAUCAAGCAUACCCUGAAAAGGAAGCUUGACGGCUUGAAGGGGGCUUGGGUUGAUGAGCUUCUCCACGUCCUCUAGGCCAUCUGCACAACUAGUCGAGUCGCGACAGGGGAGACACCCUUCUCAAUGGCCUAUGGAGGCAAAGCCAUGAGCCCGGUCGAGGAAGGAGUCCUAUCGCAUCGUCGGAUACACUUCGAUGAUAUCAGAAACGAUGAAACUUGAAUGUGCGAACUCCACCUCCUUGAAGAAAUGAGGGAUACUUCCCAAGUGAAACUAGCUAAGUAUCAAAGAAAGAUGACCUACUAUUACAAUUCCAAGGUCAGAAAUCAAACUCUUCGGCUGGGGGACCUCGUCCUUAGAAGGGUUUUCCAAUCAUCAAAUCCAACUGGGUCCAGAGUGUUUGGACUGAACUAGGAAGGUCCUUAUCACAUCCGCAAGGAGUCCCAACCUGGUACUUUUGAAAUUGAAGACAUCACAGGGAGAAUACUGCCUCAUCAAUGGAACAUCGAACACUUGAGGAAGUACUAUUAAUGAUGAACGCAUGUUCCGAUCCGAUCUCAAUGUUGUCUAAUAAGUGUUUUUCAUGAUCCGAUCUCAUUUGUAACUUCCCUAUCUUUCUAAGUGCUGAAAUUGCCUUAGUGAAGGAUGAUGUAACUUCUAAGUAAUGAUACUUCAGUUCUUUGUGUCACAUCAGUUAAUGAAUUGUUACCUCAGUUUUUCAAUAUAUUAUUAGUCCGAUCUUUUUUUAUCGACUGGUUAUUGGUAAGUGGUGCUUAAUAUUUGCUUAAGUGCUUAUCAUUCAUUCACUCAGGUAUAGACAAUUCAACACAAAGAAAAGAAAGAUGCAAUAAUACUUAAAAGAAAAAUUUUCAUUCCAUUCAUUUCAAACUGAGUUAUAAAAGGAAGGUUGAAGCCAUUACAAAAGUAGCCCUAUUCUACUGGGGGAGACAUCUUCCGUCCCAGGCUCCCGUUCAACUUCCUCUGGGGCCUCUGGAGCUUCCUCGGCAGCCGUGUCAGGCCAACCUCCAGUAGGCCCACGGAACUCUGCCUCCAAAGUGGAUAUGUCCAAAGUCGGGUGGACCUCCUUCAGUCAACCCAACAGUCCUUGGGCACUCCAAGAGGCCCAGUAGUUGGCGAAGUCAUCGUACAGGGGUGCACCUCGAAAUGAUCAAUGAAGUUCUGCACAGCCACCUCCCCUGCCGACUUCAACUCCCUCUUCAAUGGAGCAAUCUCUUUAGCCUGGGCCUUCGCCCGCUGCUUCAGCUCAGCCUUUUCCUUGUUGGAGGCCUCCAGAGCUAAAGUAGCCAGGCGAUGGUGCUCGUUGGCGUGAUCAAUUCGCCUCGUCAGAGCAGCCACCUGGCACUCACUUUCGUACAGCUCUUUCUUCAGCCUCUCAACAUCAGCAUUAGCCCUCAUCAGCUGGCCUUCUGCCUCCUGCAUCACCGACUCCGCCUCAGAGGCCUUCUCCCAAGUGUCCUGGACUUCAUCUCCAUAUUGUAUCACCUUCUCGAGGCGCUUCGCCAGGUCAGUGUUUUUGGCCCUCGAUCUUUGAUUAGACCCUCCAACUGAACACUUGUGCUGAGGGCCCUGGUUAUGCAUACACUACUGCCCGCCACGAGAUCUUCAACAGUGCAUUAGGCAGUGUGGUCCUUCCACUCCUCAGUCCAGUACUUUUUAUGGACCGCUGCCACCACUGCCAUCUCGGGAGGUAGAGCCUCUAGCACUUCUUUCACAGGCACCUCAGUGUUCAUGCCCAAAAAGUCUACCUCGUUUGUAGGGCAGACCCUUUUUUUCCUCGGCUGCCCAGGCACUUGAGAUAUUGGAACGGCUGAAAGUGGAGCUUCAGCCGGGGCAACAGAGGUGGCAAGGACAGCCACGGAGGGUUCAACAACCUUCUCCCUUAGGGCCACCCCGGUUGGAAUUGUUGUUUGCCUCAGGGCUGGGGUUGGCCUCGCCAUGGUGGGCCCCUUUGAAGAGUCUGCAGCCUUCUUGCCCUUCUUUAGUAGAUUCGCUUCAGGGUCUUCUUCGACCUCAUCCGCCAGAGGUUGAAGCCUCUUACUGGCAUCAACCAAAUCCUCCAUCUGCUUCUUGUAGGCAGAUGAUGAGGUCUUCAAGGCUCUCGUCUCGGCCAUCAUCUUCUGAAUUAUCUUGAAAUCGGGCCUCAAAGACAUCUUCUUGUUGAAGUUAUCUGUAAGGAAACAAGCAAAUUAUUACAAGUAUGAAGAGGUCAGAAAACCCACACGACAUGGCCACUUCGUAAAUCUACCUUGGAAAGCCAUCAGAUUGUGUGUUACGAAAUGAAUAUUCUUCUUGAUCAACUCGUGGUAUGACCUCUUCUUCGAGGGCAGCUGGUAGACGAUGCAGAUUAUGUCAAAGUCGUCGAUGGAUAUCUCACACCGAGGAAGGGUACCUUCAAAAAGUAAAUAAAGAGCAGUUACGAUCUGAACCGAACAAGAAUAAACAAAAAUACAAAGCAACAGUACUCACUAAGUGUGGAAUACUUCGUGGGGACCGUAAGAGGGCCCAGAGGGUCUCCCUCCAUUGUGUCCCAUCUCCCGGCAACCCAGCACCACGAGCUCUUCCAUUCUUUAAUAGAGCUCAACAGAUCGAGCGCGAAUAGAGUAUGGGAACCCCAUGAAGUCAAAUAAUGCCACCCCCUAGUCUUGUCCCCCCAGCUGCUACCUUAGGGAUGUAUAGGGUCUGAAAAAUCGAGAAGGGCAUCUCCACCCUGAGCGAUGCUUCCUUAACAUCUAGGACCCACCAUUUGGCUCAAGGAGUUCGGGUUCAGCUAGGUCGGGGGCUAACCCAUACGACCUUAGCACUAGCCUAAAGAAGGGAUGAGAGGGAGCCUAAGUCCAGCCCUAAAAAGUGCCUCACUCACGACCACACACCCCGGCCUAGGAUAACAAGCCCUCUCAUCAGACUCCGAUAAUAUCAAUUCUACACUACCAGGUAUCCUAUAUUCAGCCCUAAGUCUACCCAGAUCGGCCUCCUUCAAUUUUGACGGGUAAUCUGAAGCCCCCCAGUGUUCUAAUGUAUCUACCGGGCUGUCAGGCCUUCUCCAGAUAUUUUCCCCCAAUAUCGCCUCGGUAACCUCAAUGGGCGUCGCCAAAAUACCACCCUCACCAUCUCUAAAUCCUUUCUCGAAGCCCCACUACCAUCCGAAGCCAUUGCAGAAUAGAGAAAUGUGAAAAAAACUUGGGAAAAUACUUAUUGAAACUCAAGAAACUGGGGGACCUACGACCAGAAAAGAUUAACAUACAAUGUGAUAUUGUCGAAAACAAGAAAUGUCGUCGAAAAAUGCUUAUACAAUGUCAGAAAACGCAAGAAUCUUGAGAGGAAAUGGAUUUUCUGAUUUCGGAAAAGUGAAAAACUCCCAAAAUUCUCAAGUUUGCCUUUUAUAGAGCGUCCUAACCGAUCUCCACUGUUGAAUUCAAAUGCAAUCAAUCUAGACCGUCCAUCACAUCAUAAAUCUGAGCCGUUGAUAUGAAACGCCAGAUUUGAUCUACGCCCAAGAUCUAGCUGUGACCCUCACACUCCCAUAAAACACGUUGCCUCAAUCACCAUCAGCCGUCUACAAUAAGUAGCCGUAGCAGCCUUUUCUGGGAAUGGGCAUCACACCCAACUGUCACCUUGGAAAUAUGCGACAGCUGUCAAAUCGUUUGACGUCAGAAAUGUUCGCCUCAGAUUGAAAUCCUCAGCUUUACAAAGCUUAGACGUACUUAACGCGAAGUCCCCUGUGGGUCAUCGAUUCGGUGGCUGCAUUCCCUCCUAAGUUUUACAAAGUUUUAGCCAUCUCCCAACGCGUCGUCCCCUGUGGGUCAGCGCACCGGUGGCAGAUGAGCUCCUCACUCAACUUUACAAAGUUUAGACAUACUUGACGCAGAAUCUCCUGUGGAUCAUCGCCUCAGUAGCUGCGUUCCGUCCUAAGCUUUACAAAGCUUUAGUCAUCUCCCGCAUUGAUCGAGGAUGAGCUCCUCACUAAGCUUAACAAAGUUUAGACGCACCUGAUGCGGAGUCCCAUGUGGGUCAUCGUCUCGGUGGCUGCGUUCUCUCCUAAGCUUUACAAAGCUUUAGCCAUCUCCCAACGCGUCGUCCCUGUGGGUCAGCGCACCGAUGGUAGAUGAGCUCUCCACUCAGCUUACAAAGCUUAGACACUCCUGACCCGGAGUCCCCUGUGUGUCAUCGCUUUGGUGGAUGCGUUCCCUCCUAAGCUUACAAAGCUUUAGCCGUCUCCCAACGUGUAGUCGCUGUGGGUCAGUGCAUCGAUGGCAGAUGAGCUCCUUCCUUAGGCAGCACUAAAGCUUUAGUGCCUCAGUCGAAGAUGUGUCCCGACCUUCAGCUUCACAAGCUUCAGCAUUUCCCACGCAUCGUCUCUGUAGGUCAGCACCUCGGUUAGAGACGUAUCCCAAUCCUAAGCUUCACAAGGCUUUGGCCUUUUCCCAACGCAUCGUCUCCUAAAGCCAGCGCCUCGGGAGAAGAUGAGCACCUACCCACAUCUCUUCGGUGAACACAAAAAACUGAUCCACAAGCUUUCGGGCCAUCUAUACACUUCGUCCUUCCACACCAGUUCUCUAUCACAAACCAAGGCAGGCAUACUCGAUCGGGAAAACAAGUCCACCCAUGAUAUAAAUAUUCAUGCCUGAACUUGGGGGACCACUGUUACGCUCCUAUCUGAACACCUUCGGAAAGUCUACCACUGCAUCAUACGAGGUGUCCACCACCAAUCCGAAGUGGUUCCGAAGUGACUCCACCACCAAUGUUCACGCGCUGCGAGGCACAAAAUAAUUCUACUGGACCGAUCGAAGUGUCCUUGACGUCGAAGCUUACUGCACUUCGAGGUUCUCCUUUAGCGGAUCCACCGCCACUUUUAGAAAGAGAUCUGUGUCACAUCCUCUCUGCCCCCAAGGCUUAAUUGAUUUGACGUCUCCAUGAGUCUAGUUGAUGUGACGUAUCAACUUUAUGUCAACUCAACUCAGGAAAAGUUAUUACCCGCCCACUCUAUAGACGCGGCGGAUUGACGCUUAUGAGCAGACGUCUCACACCGUCAGAUGCAUACACGUGUCCCACAUCCAACGGUUCUCCUUACCUAUAAAUACCCAAGGUUUGACAAGAGGCAAAGAAAAUGAAACCCUUACAACUUAGCUCUCCAUAACAAGAAAAUAUAUAUUCUCCUCUCCACUCUCUUGUACAACUCGGGCACUGUUCCGAUCACCGGAUACUAACUUGACUGUCGGAGUAUAUGCGAUCGCCACCACCCCGCUGGUUCCGACUGCGUGCGUCUGACCGUACGUUGAUUGUGCGCAGGGAGGAUCACGUGGAGUAACUAUCGAUUGGCCACGUGAGAGGUCCAAUUUGCGAGGUCAACAUUAUUAAAGCAAACCGAGUUAAUCAAAGUUUCCUUAUAUAUAGAGAGAGGUGUAAAGCAUAUUAGAGGUGUAAUCGCAUUAUAAGAACUCAAACAAACUCCCCAUUUUGACCUUGUUUAUAGUGUGUCCUCGUGUAUGUCUUGACAUUUCAUCGUGUAAAGACAUUUGAAAUGUCGUUAUCGAUGUUUGUAAACCAAAUAACUCGACAGUUGAUGUGCAUGUAUGAAUUCUUGAGAUUACAUUUUGUAUCCUAGAGUUCUAUACAUUUCAGACCUCUACACAAAAAAAAUAAUAAUAAUAAAAACAAACGAAUUAAACAAGAGAAAGUUACAAAAUUAAAUAAAGAAUAAAUAAAUAUUAUUUAAUUAAAAUUAAAAUAAUUAAAUUUUAUCAUAAAGAUAAAAGAUUUAAAAAUAAUUUUGAUUCAAAAUAAAUUAAAAAAAAUAGAGGAGAAAAAAUCUUUCUCCAUAACAGUCUCCAAUAUGGAGAGAAAGUCUCUAUAUUAUGGAGAAAUUGAGAUUUAUGGACAGGUUUCUCUCCAUCAUUUUGUUCCUUUUUUUAUAUAUUUAUUUUUGUUUAUAUGGAAAAUAUUUUUCUUUAUUUAUAAUUUUUGAAUUUAUUUUCUCUUAAUGCUAAAAUUUAUUUUUUUCAAUUUUAAUUAAAUAUUUUGUAUAUGUUCUUUAUUUAAUAUUUAAUAUUUGUAACUUUUUUGUUUAAUUUAUGAUUUUUUUUUGAAAAUUACUAUGUAACCCAUUUUUCCUUCAUAUUAUAAAUAACUUUUAGUUCGAUUAAAAAAUCUUUUUAAUUUUUUUCGUUUUGUAAGAUAAAUAAAACUAUUUUAGUUCAAACUUUAUCAAUUUUUAUAAUUUCUAUUGAAGUUUUUAUGUAUAAAAUUUUACAUUGACAAAAAAAAAGGUUUGACAAAUUUCUUUAAUUCAUUAAAGCUAAUCGAGUUAAUCAAUUUUUCUUUGCAUCUCAUUUUUUUAUGUUCGAGUAGGAUAAUGAAAGAAAGAAUUAAUCCUUUGUUGUCAUAGGUAAGAGUUUCAAAAUAAAUUUAUUUUUUCUUUUAAUUCUUUAAUUUAUUUUCACAUACAUAAUCACACACAAUCACACAUAUGUUUACAUAUUAUUGAAACUAAUUGAAUGAACAGUACCGAAUAUUUAUGAUUUACAAGAAUACGUGUGCCGUUAACAUUUAUAUUGAAACAAUAUGUUUUUUGAUAUUUCAUUCAUUUCUUGACAUUUGAAGUGUAGUUCUCGACAUUAAAUGUCUACCAAUCUGGACACUUGUCAUUACAUUUGUAUAGAACGACAUUUCAACUAAAGUAUAUUAUUUCUCCACAUUUCAUUAGAACAUUGACAUUUGACGUGUUCAGGAUAUGAUUUGCCCGCAUUUCUCAACACUUGAUAUUUCGUUUGUGUAGAAUGAAAAUUUGACUAUGAGAAGAACAAAAUACAGCAAUGAACACAGUACAUGGCAACUGUUUGUGAAAUCUAAUCAACUGACACAUAAUUGUUACAAUGCAUACCGGUAAAACAUUUACUCUCUAUACCAACAUAUGAAUCUUCAUCAAGAAUAUUUACAAACUAUGGACAACCAUGUGGAAAAUGAUUACUACAUCACAAUAGGUAAGGCAACGCAAUGAGAACGAAGAUGCGAAGACGUAAAAUAGCAAUCGAAGUCAUUAUAACCAAAUGCAGUCUAUAAUAUUUUUUGACUAAAAAAACAAAUGUUCUGGACAACGCCAAUUAGUCUGAAUAUUUACCAAUGCAUAAUACAAGUCCACUAUAGGAAAUAAUAAAGUUAUAAACCGUUUUCAACAUACGACCCUCCGAACAUGCCACUAACAUAUAAACCACAAGUUUGCAUCCACAAAAUGUCGGACAGCCAGUCCGUACCAUGAACAAAAAUAUGAGAAUUGCAGUGUAUACACCCUUCUUACCUCUCUUGUGAUCGGAUCAUGUGAAUGGUGUCUUGGUGUUUGCACUAGGCAUCUUUAGUCUCAACGAUCGAGGUCUACAUAGGGGGAGAUAAGCAAUCUUCGAUGGUUCAACACGGAUGGCAUCAUCAAUUGGCGAAGCAUCGAUGGAGACAGUAGCUGUAGGUACAGUGUUUGUAGUCUCUAUUACACUAUCUGGAGCAAUAUCAACUGACCUCUCGAAUCUAACCCCAACCGUCGACAUUCUGAACACAUCAUUGGUCUGGCAACCAACUGCUUUGGUUACACAUCUUGGAUGCCCUGUGUCCACUUCUGUAUGUGGCGUGAAAUUGUGAUCGUAACUAUCAUGGUGGGGCACAUCUCCACCGCCAUUGUCCUGAAAUCUACCAUACUCAUCGACGACAUUGUGUCCCCCAAUGGUAGUAGCCACUUCAUCAAGCCUACGUCGGAUCACAUUGACCUCAUCAAUCACAUGCUGCCUCAAACCGUGCACAUAAGUCCCCAUAUCAUUUUCCAAACUAGCAAAUCUCACAUUCAUUCCUCCCUCAACUUGUCCAACCUGCACUCAAAGGCCUCUCUUUGCUCGUUCAAAAGAGAUUUGAUCUCAUCCGAAGGCACGGGCCUUAUAAGUGCUCGAUGGCACCCGAUAGAAGAAGAUGGACGGUCGACGAUCGGGUCGCCAUGGUCUUCAUCUCUACCUUCAACGGGAUGUAAAUCUCAAAGACGAACUCUGUGUUGCCUCUCCAAGACUUUUUUCGUUAAUUGUUGUUCACACUAUGCAUAACUUCACAUUCUGGUGGGCAAUCCUGUAUUUUUGUUGACUAAGCAACGGGCUGUCCAGAGCUUGGUCUGCUUUGUCUGAUAAAGCAACCAAACCAGCAAUAUAUGACUGCAAUUCUUCUACAGCAGUAGCGCGCAGCGUUGCCCAUAAGUGUACCUAUAAGGGAAAGAAAAAAUCGUCAAAAUGAAAUAUUAGUCAUUCUGAAAUUAUAAUAGAAAUUUUAUAUGCAAGAUGCUCACAUGUGUUUUCUCGAAGAAGUCUAAAUAUGUUCUGGACUGAGGUUGUCUUGUGACAGUCCAUCACAACAUCCUCGAAAUAUCGUCACCCGUCUUUGUCGCGAAUUGAGCUCCCAGCUCCGAGAUAACCUCGUACACUCACAACUUCAUGACGAACAGAGUGAAAGUUACUAUAUACAGAGAGAUAUAACAUGGAACGGGGAAAAUGAAAUGAAAAUAUGGAACAUGUAUACCUAAACAAUAAGAGAAAAAUCGUACAACGUGUAAGACAUUCUAUCACAGUAGAAGACCUUUGCUAAGUCUGCCUUUCUCCCCCAUUCACGAAGAAGUGAUUUGACAAGAAGAAGUUUGAAACACACUGUCCCCCAUGGGUAGGUAUUGAAGAAAUCCAAGUCAUCCACAAUGGAAAGAGUUUCAGGAUGUAUCACCAUAUUUCGGUCUCUGCAAUUAAAGACCCCUUCAAUAAUCAGUGCCAACGCAAGUUUGUAACGAUCAUUACGUUGGGUACAUUUCAGGAAAACAUUCUCCAAGUCAGUACACGUUACCUAGUCUCUACAGGUAAACAGUUUGUUCCACAGUCGGGUUUUUCCUACGUGUUGUCCAAAUUAUCACCUUUUGGUACUUCACCACACUUCAACCCAAUGAUUAAUGCAAACUUUGGCAGUCCAAAUCAUGCAAACCUUUGGUUCACCUUAAACCAAACCUCGAAACUUUUGCUAGAAAACACCGAUCUAUUCACCAUUUUGUGAAUUAAUUACCCAGACAGUUUCAGCUCCGACAACUUGGCAACAUGUCCUAUGCAACUUUCCUUGAACGUGCGCUUUUUUUGUGCAUCGAGUUUGUCGAGGACAACUGUUAUGUAUUUCAUGUUGCUAACUUGUGAAACCUACGUCGGGACGAUCUCUUCCUCCGGUACUUUGAAUGGGUGUGAAGAAGUCAUCUAUAUAUAGCAAAAAACACAUAAAAAAGUAUUAGGAGAAUGUCAGAACAAAAAAAAAAUCUAAGAAACGAUAACAGGAAAAAAAUAAAAAUCAAGUAACCAUUGAAAAUGCUUGCUAUAUAUUCGAAUAGAUACCCAUAAAGAAUAGUGUGCAAGGUACUCAUAAAGCAUAGUAUACAAAUUCAACGGAAUACAAUACAUUAAAAUUAAAACGACCUUCGAAAUGAUGACUAAGAUCUAUGGAUACAUUAGCAUCUAAUGCGUGAUCACAAAGUUCAAUUUCAAAUUCAGUUUUCUUUUAAAGAUAGUAUGAAAAUGUUUGUAGACGUAUGCUUUAUUCAUGUGUAUGUGUGUAACACAAGAAAGUAAGUAGUAAUGUUUACAACUCAUUUAUUUUCCACGCAUUUAGCCUUCAACUUGAAAAGAAUGAUACGAUGGCAAUUCUCAUGUAUCCGAAAUCAACUAUUCAUCGUGCACAAACUAAUCUACACAUUAAUGGUACAACUGCAUCAUAAAACUAUGAAUCCCCUCUUGUACAGAACAAUGUUAUUCACUUAUCACUUGGUGUGAUGGUUUAAAACCCAACUACAAAGAAGUCUUGUGAGAAGAGAAAUUAAUUCGUCCGUUAAAUAAUCUAUGCAUAUCUAUAUGACUUGAGGUUAAUGGCUUUGAAUUGGAGUCAUGUACAGGCAGCUCAUAUAAUAUACUUUACACACAUAUUUGGAGGCAUCCAAGAAUAUAUUACACAUACACGCCUACGAAAAAUGAGGGGGCAGCCAAUAUUUCACAUUUUUACACACUCAUUGGAGGCUGGAAAAUGAGGAUUACACGUAUACGUAAGAGAGUCCCCUUGACAGUAAAACAUUGGCCGUCAUUAUUUUAUAUUGAUAUGCACGCAUAAACAGAGCAAAAUAAGAAGAAAACGAAGGCUGUUGCUGUCGGUAGCUGUUCGGGGAGAAACAUAGAGCCAAUAGACACGCCAAGAAUUGCCGGCUACCUUUAUUAUCUAUACAUAUACAUAGAAAAUCGAAGCACUGGAGGAGAUAUGUAUACGUGCACAAGAGAAAGUUUUUGGGCUACAUACAUGCACAGGAAAUUAAAUUUAUACACCAAAUUUUGAGCUAAUUAAUUAACAUAUACACAUAUAUAAAAUAUAAUAACGAGAAGUCUACUAAACUCUAACUAAAAUCUACAACCAUCAAAAAUUAAAUACAACAUUGUAAAAUCAAAUCAGAUGAAAUACACAUUAAAAUUACAACAGUAAACAAUAAAAAAAAAAAAAGAAAAAAAAAUAUGUAUCUAUAUAAAGUUAUCUUAUUGAAGGCAACUAAGGAAGACGUAAGCAAUUAGGGGAUGAACGGGAAGGUUAAAGGUGUGGCAACUCUUCACAGCGGCUCUUCACUUCCAAUUAAAUCAGUAAAUUGUAGCCUUUUAUUUCUGGGCUUCUAAGUUGAGAAGGAGGAUUUCACAUUUAAAUGAAAAUUGAAUGAAGAACGGGCAUAGAGUUUUAUGUUUUCACUUGACCCAUUUUUCAAUUCUAAUAAACCGGCAGACUUAUUUAAUGUGAUUGACAUUUGUACUUUUUGAAACAAGUAGCAUAGGUUAUAUGUCCUAAUUUUAUUGGCAACACAAUUUUUAAUGAUGGGACACAAUUUGAAUACAACUUUGAAAUUAAAAAUUUCAGGCAGGGAUAUUCUUGUCCAAAUAAUUGGAAAAUAGACAUUGGGAAAACUUUGGACAUUUUUGCAAAUGCCCACAUAAAAAUGGACAUUUCAGGCAAUUUUCUCAAAAAAUAAUAAUAAUUUUUCCCUAAGACUGUAAAAAUUCAGCACCCUUUGUUUUCAUGGGUUAAAUGAGUCGAGUCGAGCGGACUCUUACUGUUGAGAUGGGUUCAACCCACAUUUACUCACAAUUACCACCCACAGUUAAUCUAAACGCGAUUCUGGUCAAGUAUGUCUAUCCUUGGUGGGCUGGGCUUUCACAAGUUAUGGAAUUGACUUUGGACUACGGCAGGGUUUUUUCUUUACCAAAUUGAUAAGCCUCCGUUUAUUUUAAAUAAGAUUUUGAAAUCUCCCUUGAAGUUUAUUUUUGAUAACAUAUUUCCCCUGACAGUUAAAAUAAAUAUUCUCCAUUUUACCCCUCAAAACCAUUGUCUCUUUGUGAAAUUAAUGAAAAUAUUUAUGUAGAAUAAAUUGAUCAUGCUAGUGUAAUGAUUUGGAAACUUAUAUUUUUGUUGUAUGCCAAAUGGUUCAACGUAUUCUAAUGUUAUUGAUCCACUUGCAUUUCUCUAUAAUCUUUGUCAUUACUCAUUAUCACGUCUUAUCUUCUUUAUUUAAAAAUAAUAAUAAUAAUUUGAAUAGGAUAAGGGCUCAUUUCGCUUGACUUUUGAGAAGUCAAAAUGAGUUUUUAAAAGAGUAAUAUUAUCUAGUCACACUGGGAUUACAAUUCUACUCUAUGUGGCUCUAAUGUGGUAUUAAAUGACUUAUUUAAUUUUAUAUUUCAUUUAACUUAUCAUUUAGCACUACCUAAAUUAGGGUUACAGUUACAGUGAUGCUAUAUGACACUACUCUUUUCAAAAUUCAAAAGUUAUUCUCUUAAUUUAUCCGAAAUAGGUCUCCUUCCACGUGAGGGGAAUGGACACGAUAUAAAAGCACUUCUUUUAGUUAGAAGAACUUUUAGAGAAUUGAACUAAUGUAGCUUCCUCUAAAAGGUUUUUUGAUAGUAAAAGUUUUUUUAGAAAUUAAUUUUCAAAUACUAAUUAAAUUAGAUUUUUAAAGAAACUUUUUCUACAAAAGGGAAAAAUAAAAAUAUCUGGAAAAGGGACCCCAAGGCCCAAGCUACUAACUUUUAUUGUCACAUACAACAAAUAUUACAAGUACGGUAGGACAACAACUCGAUGCAAGUAGGACUAUUAGCUCAAUUUCCCGGUGCUUAAAGGUAGCUUAAACUAAGAGCCUGUUUGGGAGUGAUUUUGAAAAUUGAUUUUUUGAUCGUUAGAAGAGAAGUGGGGUCCACUUCCGAGAAAAGAAGUUAAAUAUUACAAUUGAAAUAGUGAAAUAACGAUCGAAAAAUCAAUUUUUUGGGAGAAAAAUCACUUCCAAACUGGCUCUAAAAUAUACUUUUUAAAAAGCACUUAUAAUCCUUCAGUGAAAGCCACUCCGGUGGAACUCAGCCACUCUCCGCCUUGUAUCAUCUCUUUCACAGUAAAUUUCAUUGCUUCAGAAGGGUCAGUAAUCACAUGAUACCCCGGCCAAUUCACUCUCUUGCUAGUCCCUGCACCUGCUCCUCCAUUAAUAUACUCCCCAUAAUACAAAGUUUUCAAAGCAAAAUCUCCAUUCCAUUCAGCCCAACCUGUCGGAUCAAUAUGAUCUGCAAUGUUCGAUUGCAUCAAGACAGUUCUCGAGUACUCCUUCCACGGACGACCAAGAUACGUCGGGAAAGAACUUUUCACUGGCUCUAGAUCUGCACUUGGUAUGAUUUCACAAUUCUGGAUUGAUGUCCCAGUGUUCUGAUUCGGGUCGAUCCGGCCCUGGGCAGUUACCAUGUUCUUUUGGCUUUUCAUGGGUUUACGAGCCACGAGUUUGCAGUUUUGGAAAACUACUGCUGCAUUGCCAAAGAUGAAAUCUACUGUUCCUGUGAUGUAGGAAUCUCUGUAGAAUUGUCUUAGAGAAUGUGCGUAUAGUGUGUCUUGGUAGGCGUCAAUUUUGCAUCGAUUUAUGACGGAUUGAUCUGCGCCGACGCGAAGCGCCACGGCCUGAUGCUUUUCUGGUCCGGCUGUGUUUUUGAUGCAGAUGUCUUGUAAAAUGAAUCCCUCACCGACGGCGGCUGUACAAGUUGCAUUGACUGGUGGUUAAUUCAAGACAAAAUUACAAAAUUCUGAAUUGAAAGGUAAAUUAUGUAUUUGACACAAGCGAUCUAUAAUAUUGUCCUUAUCGAGAUCUAUAUAAACAUUCAUUUGCAAUACUGUUGGAUACUAGCAAUGUCCAAUAAUGUCAUGUGGACAGUAUUAUCGGCGAUGAAAGUUGAAAGAGGUUUUUGGGUAAUAUGACACAAAUUAACAGGGUUGGCGGUUAUCGAUAAGUUCUCCAUAAUCGGCGGCGAUUAACGAUCGAAACACCAUCAAUGAUUGUUGACAAUGUCAUAACAAUAUUGUCGUUGAUAAUCAUUGACAGAUGUUCAUUGGUAGCUAUUGAAAUUAACGUCGUCAGUGAUCACCAACGAAAUCUUCAUCAAUGAUUCUUUAAUCUACUCAAUUUUUUACUAUCACUAUUCUCAAACUUUUUAACCAAUUUUAUCGAAGGUACUCACCAAGAGUGGCAGAUUUGAAGGUUGUGGAACCAUUAACAACAUUAAGGCUACCAGUAAUAAUGGUAGUUUCCAUUCCAUCACCAACAAUCAUCAGCUUCUUUUUCUUCUUUCCCACUUCUACAUUCUCCUCAUAUGUUCCCUUCUUAACAUAUAUCACAUACCUCUUCUUGCUCUUGUCCGGGAUUGCGGCAACAGCGUCCGCCACCUUCGUGUAGUUCCCCGUACCGUCUUUAGCCACAAUUAGAUCAGCCUUAAUAUCCUUGGCUGAACUCUGCAACAGUUUCCUAUCUCCCGGUGUAAUCCAUGAUGGCAGCAGCCCUCGGGACAACAUUUCCCCGUCGGAUUCGAACACUGAUAUUGCCAAAGCUGCUCUGGCUCUGGAUAUCAAAUCUUCAAGAAUUGCUCCAAUCGACGUUUUGCCUGAAGCUUUAAGACCAUCUAGACAGGUGACAUGAUUGGUAAGAACCCCACUAAGCCAUGUUUGUGCAUUGGAACGCGAUAGUCUUGUUCGAUUCUCCAAAGCCACCAUAGAAUCUUUCACUUGAUCAAUUGACAGAUCCAUCAGCUCCAAGCAAUCAGCUAGAGCCCUCUGCUCAUGUUCAUCAUUGAUCUGAUUCCUAAGUUUUCUACUAACUGCAACUGCAUUAUCCAUAUGAUGAGCAUACUUCAUCAAGAAUUGUUGCAGUAUAUCGUUGCUCUCAAUUGGUUUUUCUCCUUUUUCUCUGUUGGAGACUACUUCAUGUACAAGAUUUUCACAUUUCUCGGGAUCAAAGGCUGUCCUGCACAUGUGUGAAAGAUCAUUUUGGCUUGUUUUAAUCAAAUUUGGGACAAGAAAAACAGCUGAAAAAAUUACAACAAAUGUUGCAAUAACAGAGUAGAUGAGGAUUUUGCAGCCAACUGAGGUUUUCUUUGGAGUGUAAAGGAGAGGUUGGUUUGUAGAAGAAGCCAUUUUUCUAUAUUCUUUCUUCUUUGCACCACAUCUUAAAGCAUAUUUUAUAGAGAAAAUUGUGAAUAUUUGAGUAAAACGCGCAAUGAUUUACUCAGCCACUUUGGCAAUGUGCCAUUGUCGGUCCCCCAUAUAUAAUCAGAAAAAGAUAUUUUGUACUGACGAACAUUUAUUCAUACUUAAUAGGAAAAAGAAAAUAAUGGAUUUUUUUUCUUUUUCUUUUUCUUUUUUUUUUUAAAUAAAUGCCCCAUUUUAAAAGGUUGAACCCCAACCUUAAGGGUCUCCCACGACCUCUGCCCUAGAGUAUCGUGAGGUAGGUAAAUUGCAGGUUAUGCUUCCAAGGGUAUAGGGUGGAAGGCUGCUUGUACACUUACACUUACCCAAGAGCCAAAUCCAUAUUUCAAGAUUCGAAUCCUUGACGAAACAACCUCAAGUAAAGUUGGAUUUCUCCACCCUCCCCUUUUACCACUUGGAGAUGUGUCCUGGGGCAAUAAAUACCCCAUUUUCAUUGAUAUAUUGGGGGCGUAUUGCAUCAGGUCAUCUCAAGAACGAGACUCAACAGUAGUAAUAUACGUGCAGUAUAAUAUUUCUAAUAUGUUGGAUUGCUUAGUAUAAUAUUACACAAAAUAAGUAAUUUAAAAUUAUAUGCGAGUAAUUCCAAUGGUGGGGUACGUGUAAAUUAAUAAAAUAUUUACUCGGAAUAAAUUACAAAAUGCGCAGAGCAAAAGGAUCAGAUGGUGCUUGUGCAAUAAUUUUGACCCUAUAAAUGUGAUAGGUAAAGGGUAUACAAAAGUGCUAAAGUGAUAAUGUUAGGAUAAUAUAAAAUUCAAAAAAGUAGGUGGAAAUUUAGGAAAAGCUUUUUGAAUUUCAGCCACACACUUUCGAUUUGAAAUUUUGCAGGUGAAUUCACAUGGACAUCGUUUUCAAUGUAUUAAAAUUAAACAAACUAAUUAAUAAAGAUUGAACUUUUGAUACGAUGCUACAAAAGAUUUGUGAAUCGGUGCUAAUAGUGAGUUCGGUCAUUUGGGAGGGAGGUCGAUUCCAGGGACGUUCAUGAGAAUUUAAAGUCCUAGGCGUUUAAAUAUUAUGGAGCCCGCAGUACAAAAUUUAUUUUACAAGUCUAAUGAGAGAACUGGAGCGUAAAUUCUCUCAAAUAAUACCCAUAAAUUAUUUCAAAUUACCAUUAGCCGAAAAGGUAACCCAAAUAGAAGAUUCCAUAAACCUUCACCCAAUGGCCACCACUAGUUUACGUGUUACAAUAUCAAUAAGGGCCUCCAAUAAUAAAGAUGCAUUUCAGUUUUAACAAAAUACGCCUUCUCCAAUUUUGGUAGCACACAACACAUGCAUGGACUUCUCAACAACGAUUAUGAGGAAGGGUUUCCAUUUAUUUGAAAUGUAUAUAUAUUGUGCUCAUUAAUUUCAUAAAGCAACUGUGCUCCAAUAUUAUGAAAUAAGACAUUGGGAUGAAAUCAAUAACAGGAUUUACAUCAAGAAUGUUUAAUCAUAAAAAAUAUUAUUUAACAUGAUUAGCAUAAAAACUAUCAUUUAUGAGGCAGUAAUCCGAAAUAAUACCGUAAAAGAAUUGGCUGAAUUGUCAAUUGUGAUAGAGUAAAAGUGAAUCACAGAAUUAGUAAUCUAUACUCUCAAUGAAAUGGAAACAGGAAACUAUCAUAAGCAAUAUGUCCAAAUAAAUAAUCCCAUUAUAAAUCCCUAAAAAAAAUUGAAUUUACUCUCCUUUAAAAUCAAUAAAAUCACAAUUCAUAUAAUGGAUGGAGAAAGGCCCAACCUGCGGAUUUAGCACUUGAGGAUUUCGCCCAACCUGAAGAUUAAUUCUGCCUCUUGGAUGACUAGAUUGGAGUGUCAUCUACGGAGAAGACGAUUGUCGAUUGGAAUGGAUGGACUCAUGGAGAAAGGCGGUCCGUUCAUUUUACUCUUUUAUGUGCAAAUUUUUAUUUUUAUUAUUAUUAUUAUUUUUUUAAUAGUUGGCAGUUUUGAGGUUUUUUAGAGGCCCCCUAAAAUAUGAGGCCCAAGGCACUGGCCUCACUUGCCUUGAGCUAGGGCCGACUCUGAUCGAUUCUGUUUUGACAAUCAAAUUUGUUACUACUCGUGCUAUAAAGUUUUUGAGAGAAUUUUAUCACUUGGAAUAACCAUGGGUGCCUUCUUAUCGCACCUUCUCAAAUUUAGUGGUGAUCAUAUGUUCUCUUUUGUGAGGUUGACUCGAACAAGUUUAUGACGUCUCAAAAGUCAUCGACAAAAUCAGGUCAUAUUUGAUGGUCUCGAGUUCCAGCUCACCCAGAUAAGGCAUUAACCCAAUGUCAUGACCUCGUUUAACUGCACUUUUGACAUCGUUCUCCCACCUUUUUGUUCGUCUUUUGUUAUACACCCCCAAACAAUUGGUUCGAAUCUCCUUAAAAUCCAAAGAAAUAAACUAAUUGUACAAUGAUUGUGUCCAAUUAAUUUGACAAAUGCAUGUGAAUUGGAACAUGAAUAUCAUUUUUAUGGACCUCAUUUAGUUCAUCAAUCAUACAUUAGUACUUAAAUAUCACUACUAUACAAAGACACAAGCAUUAACAGAAAACCAUACCAAUCACGUUUAGCCAAAGAACUGUUUAUAUAGCAAACAAUAACAUGUACCAUGCACUCGUGCUUGUAUGACAGAUGUCUCAGCAAGAAGAUAGUGGAAAAUAGUACGAGGGUGAUCGAGCCAUCUUACAUAACGCACAACCAUCCCAUUUAUAGCAAUGGGAUUUACAAGAAGCACUAGUACAGACCAAUGUUAACGUUUGAAGAUAAUCCACACGGUUCAUAAUAGCUUGCACUGCAUAAAAUUUGAACUGACAGGCUCGUGUACUUCCAUAUUGUGACAAUCAUAUGAUAUAUUGCAUAUUCCUAGAAAAUAUACAAACACUAGGUAAAUCAACCAGCCAACAGCAUCUUCAUGGGAAACCCACAUAUCAUAUGAACAACAGAUUACUAGAUUGCACUAAACUAAUUGGAGAAAAAAGGCACUGAACCAACCAACCCCAUCUUCGAUUUUUCAUUGAAAACCCACAUAUCAUAUGAACAACAGAUUGCACUAAACUUAUUGGAGAAAACACGCACUGACCAAAUUGUCAUUAUUUAGCAUAGCCAUUAACACAGACAAACAUCCUAUUAAGAUAACACGACAGUACUAGAACAAAGAUAUACUGGAAAUGAAGUGUGUAUAGAUCACACAAGCACGAGAAUACAGCAAUGCUAUUUCAAAAUAAGUUUGCAUAAUAUGUUCUGCACUGAAACGAUUUGAUGUCCACUGAGCAGAAACAGAUGACACGGCUCAAAAACCAUGAAUUUUGAUAUGCUCCUUUUUCACGAUCCCAGCCUGAACAAGAAAGGAUGAGACAUUCUUCCGCUGAUCGCCUUGAAGUUGAAUAACCUGGCCUAGUUCGGGGUCCUGAACAACAGUACCAUUGCAGCAAAACUCUUUCUUAAGGUCCUUGAGUAUUUUAUUAUAGCUGAAUUCCUUCUUCAAACCCUGCACAGUAGUCAGGCUUUUCCUACCAUUUCGCUGCUGUACACGUAUGUGAACAUAGUCUUUUGACCCGGCAUCAGAAUUCUCAGCAUUUGCAUCAGCAAAAGGAUCUUCAUCACAUAAAAAACAAAAUUAGCCAAUUGCAAGCAAGAAGUUAGGACUUCCCUACCAGACUCCAGAAAUCUAGGAAGGCCAAUGGCCCAAUAGGAAGUAGGAACAGUCUCGUGUGAAUGUCACACAGCUUAUUUCUUCAUUCAGUUGUAUACUUAUCACAACUUCUAUCUACUUUUAUCUUUUCAUCAUGUCAACAUGCAAAUGUUCUUUAUACAUUAAAAAGGAAGGAUUAAAAAUGAGAAGACCAAAUAACUAUUUAAGGAAACAAUGGAAAUAACAACAGCACACCAAAAGCAUUAGUAGUCUGGAUAUCACAAAGAAAAUAUUUCUGAUAAAAACAAAGCAGCAUACCAAAUGCAGUUGGAGUUUGGAUGUCAAAAUCAGACAUGAAACUUGGCUGACGUAACAAACACUGCGUAUCCCUUGCACUAGUUGUAAAUGCUCAGACCUGCAAGUGGAGAACACAUGCUAAACUAUCAUUAUAUAAAGGUCAACUCCAGAUAGUCCAAAGAUUCUUCGAAAAAAAGAAAAAAAGAAAAAAAAAACCCCCAAAAGGGGAACAAAUGAUCAACUGUGAUUCAGUAUAUCUGAUUUUCAAAAGUUACCUAAUUACAUGCUCCUUAAGAAAAUGGACCCGAAAUUAAAGGCAGAAAAUUCCAGCAAGUCCCUUACUGGCUACCAUCAAAAUCACUAAACAACUGCAGUAAAUCUCACUUCCAGAACUUAUUUGAAAACAAAAAAUUAAGGUGGGUCACAAUAAACUCAUUUCUACAUAGAUUGGCAUUCACAAUAAAUGCAGACCUUAAUGGAGGUGCAACUGCUGUCCAACAAAGGAACGUCACAAAUUUUACUGGCAUGCACAAAUUAUACCCACCCCACCACUCAACAACCAAACUAAUUGUAUCAUCCAGCGCCAUCCACUAACUUUUGACAUUCUAAUUGAUAGUGCACAUAUAAAGCAAAUAAGUCAAUAUUUCGUAACUAAUGCUGAAAGAGGCACUGGUUCUUCAAUUUAUAAUCAUAAAAUAGGAAAAGAUAUCGCUUAUCCAAGUCAUGAUUUAAAAAAUAGCAAAAUUAUCAGUACAAUUUAUCAUGAAAUUCCAUAAAUAUGUAUCAAACUGGUCUUCCCUUAUUAUUCAGUUUUAACAAUAAGCUAAAUUUUAAGAAAAAAAUGAUAACCCCAAGCUAUACCAUAGAGUUUAUUACCAAAGGACUAACACUUCCAUCAUCUAAAAGGACUAAAAAGAUGGAAAGCAAAACACACCUUGAUGAGGAAAGCAUAAUCAAAACAAAGUUCAGUUCUUCAGAGUAUGAAUAAUGAUUCAAUCCGCAAAAAACACAAAUCAAAUUUAUCGAACUAAUCCCAAGGAAUAAAUCAAAGAUUAAGACUUUUAUCACCUAAAAGAUUGAAAAAUUCCCAAAACACUUCACGAUCGAUGCGAACCAAUCAAAACAGAAAAGCACAAAGAACAUAAAUUUCAAUUCUUUUUAUAGCAUGCAGAGCUAUUUUAUCCAAAAAAAAUUCAAAAAGGGAAAAUUAAUACCAUCAGAUAAACCAUCGUUCAACUCGAAUCGAACCGAAUCGGAUCUGAAAGGAUCGUGCAUUUAAAUAGAAAAACUGGGUUCGAGCACUUACUUGAUCCAAAGACUAGGGUUUGGCAAGAAAUUGAAUUCUGCAACUAAAGAACUGAACCCCAACGUGUGAGCCCGAGCAGGGAUUGACAGACGUCAGUGCUUGGGUAGAAAAGAAAAAAACCUGCGCGUUCAAAUCGAGUUUAUAUAAGGAUGCUAGAUUAGGGUUUUCGUGAUUUGGGUUGUCGGUAACUUGGGGGUGUACGUGGCGAUUUUCCAGAGCAGGUGCAAGUGUGAUUUUUAAAGUAGGGGAGUACCAAUACUUUGCUUGAUUAUUUACUCAAAACGUUCCCAUCGUUUGUACUUAUUGUUCAAUUUGUUCUAUCGUUUUCUACUUGAUAUUUGCACCCUUCAUUUAACCUUUUCUUGUAUGUAAAGUUGGUCAUUUCGGUGUUAUUCCAUUAAUUUCUUCCGUCAAAUAUGAUGAAUUAGUACAAAAUGUUCCUAUUGUUUGCAUUCAUUGUACAAAUCGUUCCUAUGGUUUCAAUUUUGAUCUUUGAACUCUCAAAUCAACCUUUAUUUGCACAAAAAUUAUCAUCUUUCUUCUCCAUCAAAGCAUUGUAAAAUAAAUAAUUGACUAUCAUCUUUAAAUAAACAAAUAGAAAGGAAAAACAGAAUAUAAAAAAAAUUGCAAUUAGAGCCUCAAGUUUUUUAAAAGUACAAAGUAGUCACUUAUAAUAUGGGGCAAUUACAUCUAAUGAUGACCGAUUAAGACAUUUUUGACGUGCCAGCUAACAAUAUUCUAAUAUAGUUACAAGAUAUUCAUUUUUUUUUGGGUCUAUAACCGUGGGUGUUCGUACCAACCUGUGCACGCCUUGACUUAUUCCUCGAGGCUCUGAAGUUAAUGGCAAGAUAAACCUCUAGUGAUCCUGGAGGGACUCGAACUGAUGAUUAUUGAAGAGCAAAUUCAGACUUAACCACUGAACUAAUCCCUCAGGGGUUAAUGACACGAUAUACUUAUUUAUAUUCCACGUGGUUUUUAACUUAAUUUCAAACAAUAAAAAUAGUUCCAUUGGCGAAGUGGAAGACAGACUCGGAUAAAUUUACCCCACACUACAAAAUGCAAUCAGUUCGAUUGGGGUAAUGCAGAAUACGUAUGUGAACAUGACAUUUGUGCAGGAGUGUAGUUCCCUUUGAAGGAGUCUAAUUUUUUGAUAAUCAAACCCCUGUGAAUCAGUUACGAGUCCAAGUCCUUUUCUUCUUCCCUCUCAAAUCUAAAUCACAGAGAACUUGAAAUAAAUUCUUCCAUUGGAAAGAUACUUACUCGCCUAUAAAUUUUUCUAAUGACCUAGACUGGAUAGAUUACUUCAAAAAACAUAUAGCCACCAUCAUUCAGAGAAAUGUGCGUGGUGUUUCCUGAAACAUUCCGGUCUAGAUAUUACCUGCGGCACCCAUCGAUGCACUUUGUUUACAGACAAUUCUGUGAAUUGCCAAGUUUGUGACACAGAAAAUAUCAAGAUAGAUUUGAACAAAUAAGAUGGAUAAUUUUUAAAUCCAGACUCCAAACAUCAUAGCUGAAGAAAUAUCAAAAACAGAUCAACAGGAUAGUCAAACACAAACAUCAUUUUACAAACAAAAUGAACAACUUUAAAACAUAAAUUAACCUAAACACGAAACACAGAAACAACGAAAGAAGUUUCAAAACAAACACAGCAUAAGCACUGAAAUUUUCAAAUCCAAGAGGUCAAAUAAAAUGGAUUUAGAUACUAUUACAAAGGCAGCAAAAUGCUCACACUAGAUGAACACCAAUAUAACCAUUUUGAUGAUCGCUCCAAAAGUUUAAAACCUCAAAACAUAAUUAGUGUCCGUUCGUCACCCUUUAAAAUGUUAAAUUAUUUGUUAUAUAUAGUAUCAUUCUCCAUCACAUUCAUACAAUAUAAUAUUCUAUACUCCGAACAAAUAAAAUUUCUCUACUUCUUUAACCGGACGACGUUUAAAAAAAAAACUACUUAAAACUCUCUAAUUUUCCAAAUAGGUCACAAGCAAGGGCUUAAAACCAAGACCUUCACAAGAAAACAAAGGCAAACUGCAAAUACUGUCACACAGCUUACCAGCAAUGAAAUUGCAGAAAAAAUAAACAAGAAUAUUUAUCAGCAAGUCCUUAGUUAUGUUACUACUAACUAAAACAUUUCAAUAAAUACAUAAUAAGAAAUACAUAAAAGGCUUCACUUUAUUCAUGAAUUGGAUUUCCCAUCAACCUUAAAUUGUAGAGAGACUAAGCAAAGCGAUAUUUCAAACCAAAGAGAAAAUAAACCAUUCAAAAAUGGCUACUUGAAACCAAACACAGGUCCACAGAGAAAACGAUCGAACACAAAAGAAAGAAACAUCACAAUCAACGGACAGACACCAUCAUAGAACGACCAAAAGAACAGCAACUUCACAGGCCACCACGGAGUCGGAGGACAAGGUGAAGGGUAGACUCCUUUUGGAUGUUGUAGUCAGCAAGAGUCCUCCCAUCCUCCAGCUGCUUUCCAGCAAAGAUCAACCUCUGCUGGUCAGGAGGGAUACCUUCCUUGUCCUGAAUUUUUGCUUUCACGUUGUCAAUUGUAUCUGAGCUUUCCACCUCCAAAGUGAUGGUUUUCCCGGUCAGCGUCUUAACAAAAAUCUGCAUGCCUCCCCUCAACCUCAGCACCAAGUGCAGAGUUGACUCCUUUUGAAUAUUAUAAUCUGCCAAU
This 70339-nucleotide long non-coding RNA is filed under the name Olea europaea (common olive). RNAcentral describes it as "long non-coding RNA (OEUR_LNC003990)". Lineage: Eukaryota; Viridiplantae; Streptophyta; Magnoliopsida; Lamiales; Oleaceae. The record is from RNAcentral.